AGGAUAUGAAAUGGUGAGAUCGAUAAAUUCGAAAUCAUCAUUAUAUUGUUGUUCUUAUUACAUUAAUAUAGAUAUAUGUAGCCACUAUAUAUACCUAUUAGAGUGAAUACGAUACCAAUGCCCCACAAUUUGUUGUCCUGACACAAUCGACCGGAUUCGCUGCGUUGUAGUCAAAACAGAUGACGACUUCCUGCAGAUACGCGAUCCCCCCGUCCUUCUUGCACAUAAGAAGAGGUGUUUUCCCUCCUAUAGUCCGUCGAAUGGCCGAUUCAAGGUCGAUGUAAUGAUAUUGAUAUCCUGGUACAAUCCCAGUUGUUUGAGAAAAUAGAUGUUGUGCAUUGUAGGUCAACCAUAAUCUAUGAGCUUCGUGGAAGUAUUGUGUCUGGGAAAAUUUAUUGUCCGAGCACCUGCCGUGCUUGUUGUACUCUUGCGCCCAGAAAUCCAUAUUUGUCCGUCUAUUGUUGAAGCUGGGCCAGGAAUUGGACAAAAGUAAUUGCAGAUUAUGAUCAGCAAUCAUCUGAAGCACAAAGACGAGAAGUUACAAGCAUUUCAGAGAGCUGCAGGAGAAAAAAAACAAACUGAAAUGAGUAUAUAUAUUCAAUGUGUACCUGAUUUCUGUUGAAUAGGGUGCCAGCGCAGAGUAUAGGUGCAGAUGGAUCGGUAAAGUUGCUCGGCCAGAGGCCGUGUGUCGUAAAGGUAUGCCGUAGAACUUGUUGGUUUCCACAAAUUCCAUUCCCAAGGCAGAAGACGUAUUGGAAGAUAUCAUAUGGUGUGGCAGCAUUGCUCUUUCCGACAUAAGUGACGAAGCAAAGAGCGAUGACAACGAGAACAUGUUGUGCGGAAGCGUCAAAUGUGAAACCAAUAAACUACAACGGCAAAAUAUGAUAAACUACAAUGGCAAAAUAUGAUAAGACAAAUAAUCUAAAUAACACAAGGAUUUAUACUGGUUCGGCGUAAGCCUACGUCCAGUUCCGAGACGGCGAGGAAAUUCCACUAAUAUCAAAAGGAGAUUACAAAUAGAGUUCAACACUCAAACCCAAAUCCCACAUACACCCAAUAGCUUUCACUCAUAUAAAGAACAAAUAGAGAAGAAGAAACACAUACCAAAUCCUUCUCUCCCAAAAGCCACAAAAUGUAGCAAUAUAUCUUUGAAUGAAUGAUUGCACAAAUGGAGAACAGUAAAACAGCAGCACUCAAUUUUCUUCUCUAUCGGCUGCUCUCUGUUUUCUGCUAUAUGCUGCCGCUGAGUUUCUGCUCUCUUUUUUUCUGCUAUCUGCUGCCGCUGAGUUUCUGCUCUCUUUACUGACCAAAAGGCAUGAAUUGCCUUAUAUAAGGCUGGUGCCUUUUAAUUAAACCCUAGCUGCCAUGUGGCUUUCAAAUGGGUAACAAAAGGCCAAACCUAUUUGGGUUUGAGACAAAAAACUAAAGGCCCAAGAAGUAUUGAGCCACAAAAUCCAACAGAACAAUCUUGAAGAAGUGCAUGGUUGUCAACCAAUUAUCAAAAGAACAAAGGGAGGGAGGGAGGAUGGGAUGAGAAAUAACAAGGAAAGCUAAAGAGUGAAUGAAGUGUGAAUUUUCAAAGAAAUGAAGAGGUGUUUAAAUAGUUAGAGUUGAGGUUAAGGGUAGGGUUUGGAGAAAUUAAUUAAGGUGAAGCUAACUAGCAAAGAUGAUAAUAAUUAAGGUCAAGUAAGUGUGAACAGAUCCUGAACUAGGGAAUGCCUCUUUCUUGUUAUGCAAGGCUUUGCAUUCUCAUAUGCAUGCUAUAAAGGGUGGUAACCGUGUAGUGGUUGAUUCAUCAACAACCCAAUCAACCCAAUUAUAGCGGUUCCUCAUAUAUCAGAUUCAGACCCCAAGCAAGCUAAUAGUCUCAAUUUUUAGAUUAUAAUUCUAUUUCAGAAAGCCAUUCAGGACCACGCUAGCUAAAUAUGGUUCCAAUCGAAUAUAAACAGAAACGAUUUGGACAUUGUUUAUGUAUCUUAUCUUGUAAAUUGAAGUUUCAACCACUACCUUCUAGCAGUGGUAAUUCUUAUCUUUGAAAUUUUGGAGCUCUCCUCUCCUCUUCAUGGUUUCUAUUCAACUUACUUAUCCCGGUUGCAGAUAAUUAAUUAACUUGUGGAUUAAGUAAAUAGCUAUUUCAAUUUGCUGCUACUCACCCUGGAGCUAGCCUUCGGACCGGGGAAAUCAUAUUGUCCUAUAGACACCCGCGCUUCGUCGCUGCAAGGCGACACCGCAGGGUGGAUAUCUGCGGGUACUCAUCAUUUCAUUUCAUGGUUGUAUUGCUUCACAUUUGCAGAUUGUUAACACAACAUGCCUUCUGUUUAGUUAAUUCAUUAAUCAAACAUGAUCAAAUAUACAACAUACAAAUUGUUAGAAUUGAGGUCAAGUGUAGAGUGUAGAGAAAGAUUAAGUUGAAGCUAGCUAGCAAAGGUGAUAAUAAUUAAGGUCAAGUGAGUGUGAACACAUUCGGAAUUAGGGAAUGCAUCUUUCUUGUUGCCCACGGCAAUGCGUUCUCAUGCUAUAAAGGGUAGUAACUGUGUAGUGGACGAUUCAUCAUCAACCCAAUUAUAUAAAGUGGUUCAUCAUAUAUCAGAUUCAAACCCUAAGCUAGCUAGUAGUCCAAAUUUUAGAUUAUAAUUCUGUUUCAAAAAUCCAUUCAGGACAACGCUAGCUAAACAUGGUUCCGAACGAAAAAAUACAGAAACGAUUUAGGCAUUGCUUGCGUAUCUCAUCUUGUAAAAACGUACAACUUACAAUACACUUAAUUUCGAACAUUGUUUGAGUAUCUCAUCUUCUUCGUUGAAAGGCAACACCGCAGGGUGGAUAUCUGCGGGUAGCCAUCAUUUCGUUUCUUGGUUGUAUUGCUUCAUAUACUCGUAAAUUUUUAUCGACUCCAAGUUUCUUAAAGACAUCCAUAAUUUGAACAACAAAAGGAUUUCAUUACUUUCGAUAUCUACGUACACAUGUACUUGUUGUUGCCUUCCGUGACCGAAACCAUACUCUUCACAUAUACAACGGGCGAAUGAUUUGCUUUGCACAGUGGCAAAUAAUACGGUUGCGGAGGAAAAAUGGGAUUGAUCCUUACAGCACUUUGAAUGGGAAGAUUUUUAAGCUUCUUAGUACGGAAGUUAUAGCAGACUAUGCCUCCAUUUUCCUCUACUGUAAGAACCUCGUCGCUUUUCCACAUUGGCAAGCCUCCAUUUCCCUCUACUGUAAGAACCUCGUCGCUUUUCCACAUUGCCAAUGUGGAGUACAGGGGCAAGCCGGACCUUGAGAAUGAUGGGAUCUUGGCAGCAAAGUGUUUUGUCCAAACACCACCCGCAUUUUUCGGACCACCACCAGAAUCAUCAUCCAUUAGCCACAAUUCAAAGGGUGGUGUAUCACCAUCUUCAAAGGUAUUACGAUUCAAGCGAAAGAGAGCGAUGGAUUCAUUCCACACCUUAAGACGCAUUUCAAUACCAAUUCCUUCGAAAUUGUUGAACUCUACCAUCUCAUGUGGUAACAGUAUGUCAUGAAACACCUCACGACUCAUGUCAAACCAAACGAUCACUCGCCUAAUUUUUUCUUGCUCGGGAUAGGUGACAUCAUAGCUAUCGGCAAAUUCCUUUUGUUGCUCACUUCCUAUCCAAUAACACAUCCCCUUGAAGUACACCUGAAAAGUUUCAGGCCAAAGGAAAGUAGUUUCCGUUUCUAAAGAAUAAGGCUCGAUCUCCCUCCAAGAAUUAGUUCCUAGGGUAUACACUACUACCUUGGGAGGAUGAAUAAUCAAAUGUUCUGUGCCGCCAUGCAAUUCUGAACCAGAAAAUCCAAUUUUGACAACUUUGUAAUCUUUAGAUUUAGGAUCAUAGCCUAAUCCCAAAACAUCGUCGAACCGAUCUGUUAGUGGCAUGUAAGGCAUAGACAACCACCAAGGAUGAGGAUCCCUAAAGGAUGCUUCGUCGAACCAAUCUGGACUGUAUGUCUCCGAGGGAAGGACCCUGAAUUCCUGAAUUGCCGGAUUCCACAAAAGCACCUUAGUAGAAUUAGGACGAGCUAGACAAAUGAUCCCAUCACAAUGACCUAUAACAUGAAAUGAUUGAUCAUCUCCAAUCUCCAGACUCAUAGAAAGAGGAAUAUUGACGUCCUCGAUCCCAGAAAGAGUGCUACACUUGUGCACACCACCAUCGUCAUCAUCAACAAUGACAUUGUCAAAAGUAAGUACUGAGAAUACGGAUUGAAAUUUGUCCCCAUUUGGGUCCUCCGUAGAAGGGACUAACAUUCGCUUCAGAAGGACACGAGUGGACUGAUCGUCCAGCAAGGAAUGGGAGAGGUGCUUGUCGACGAACCUGGGGUCGUUGAUGAGAGCAUGCCACCAUUUAGCGACGCACUUGAAUCGCAUCAGAGAUUUCGGAGGCAGAGUUGACAGAUAUUCACCAACAAAUCUUGUCCGAUUUUGGAUGUUUUGUUCGUCAUUUGUGCAAUGUCAAUUAUGGACCUCACCCUUGUUCUACGAUACACACAAAGACCAACACAACAAGAUCAGAAGAUUCCACAAUUACACAUUCUCUCUAAUUAAGCAUAUUCUCAAAAGCUCAUCAUCAUCUGGUAUUGCUAUUUCUUGUUAAAAAAAAAAAAAAAAACUCAUGGAUACAUUCAAAAAUUUAGCCCUACUGAAAAUGCCAAUUGAAAUUCAAAAGCGAAAUAAGAAUCGAAGCAAAAAAAGUAUCCUUCUUUCAUUUAAAAAAAAAUAUAAAAACUGAAAUUGAAUAAUAAAAAGUUAGAAAUGAGGUUACCUUGUUGUAGACUAGGCAGUAGGAAGAGGAAGAGACCGAAGCAGAAGCAGCGCUGUGAGUGAGAGGGAAAGGGGCAGACUCGGCGCAGAAAAUGUAUUUUCUGCGUUUUGUUCGUGCAGCUGCGUGCGAUAAUGCGAUGGCAGAGAGGGGUUUUUAUUUUGAUUCUUGUGCGACCGAUUUCCACACCCUCCCAAAUUUACGAACUUACGCUCCCAAAUUCGGCCGCGGUUUGCAGUCUUCAAUUCCGUGUCUUAAUUGUGUAUGUUCUCUUAACUUUUUAACAGAUGUCUAUAAACUUAACUUUUAAUUUAACGGUGCUAUCUUUUCAAAAGACUAAUAUAACAAAUAAAAAGAAAUAAAAGAAAAACAAAAGGUGCCUAACUCUCCACCUACCCCAUAACACUAUUGAAUUGGUGUUAUCACUGUUUAAUUUAACGGUGUUAUCUUUUUAGGGGAUACUGUCGUUUUUCUUUAAUUUUUAGUUUUUUUCUUCAAAUGUUAACACUGUUGAAUUGGUAUUAAGUUGAAGCAUGAGUCACUAAGUUAGAAAGAAGACAUGACGAAGACACUAGUUUAUGGACAUCAGACUCUUGGGCCUCAAUUUGUAAAUCAGAUUAAUAGUCUCCGUGGUGAUAGAGUAUUCGGAGGAAAGUCUAUGUAGUAAAAAGAUUGCCGAGCUCUUCCAGCGGCUCUACUCCAAGCCCAGCCGUGACGCCUGCUCCCUCGUUUGCAAGCGCUAGCUUGCCCUCGAGCGCCUCAGCAGCACUGCCCUUUGCAUUGGCGGCCGACCGGUAUAUCGAUAGCUUAUUUGUUGGGUUCGUUAGGCAAGUGGGCAAGAAGAUUCGCCUACAGCAGCUGAUGCAGAUUCAGAAUUGUUAUUCUUGGGACUCAACCCAAAGACACAUCUGUUCUCAAAGUGCGUGACGUUUCGUGUGCUUGGGCGAGACCCACUCUUAUUUUUCAGUUUUGGUUUUCAGUAUAAGUAUUUUAACUUCAUUUCCUCUAGUUAUUUGUUUUUGUCGUUAUAAAUGUUUUUGGAAAAGUAUUUCUGUUUUCAUUUUUAAGUUGAUUCGAGCUUUUCAUCUAUAUGUUAGUACAUAUCUAUUUUGACGUUAUCUGACCUUAAAUUAUUUUGUGUUUUCGACUUUAUAUUUUAUUAAAGUAUGUUUUCUACUUUUACACUGAUGGGGAAAGAAAGUAUGAGCCUGGGGGCACGAAAGAUGGAAUCAUUGCAGCCAAUUGCGACGGCGUGGCAUUUUCCCUUUUGUGUAACCGCUCUUACCUAAUAUCUUCGUUACAUAUAUGUAUAUUAUUCUUCUUCCUAUUUUCGAAUAUUUUCAGUCUAGUAAGUGAUUUUAAAUUUCGAGGACGAAAUUAUUUUAAGGGGGGUAGAUUGUUACAACCACCCCCAAAUAAUUACACCAUUUGUUAUUUCCACCCCCAGCUGCCACGUGUCAAUCAUUAAACCUCCCCUAUUUUCCCUCUCUACGUCCCCUCACCCCCGUGACCUUCUUCUUCUUCGUCUCUCUCUCCCAAAGCUCUCUCAACUCUCCCUGUAGCUCUCUCUCUCAACCUCUCGCAUCUCUCUCUCCCUGGACUCACUAGAACCUUAGCACCUUCAGGAGAGGCUUGUAGCAAGCCUAGGACCCCUCUGCCCGCGAGAUCGAAGACACGGAGCAAAGCUCCGGUGAGCUUUCUUCCUUUUUAAGUGGGGGUAAGUCUCGAAUCCCUCAUUCUCGUACCUAGCUUAAUGUUUGGUUAUGAUUUAGAAGCUUGAACCUUCUAUUUUUACGUAGAUUUUGCUUCGGAAAUCAUUGUGGGUGAGCACACCCAUUUUCCGGCGAACCCAUGGACUUUGGAGGCUUUUCCGGUCACCUCCGACCGAGUUACGGUGUUUGGAAGGUAGAAAUCUCUCUCUCUCUUGGUUCUUCAUGUUUGUACCUAGAUUGGAGCUCGAAGCUUUCGUUUUCAAGUGACCGGAGCUGUAGCAGCUCCGGCCUUCUCUCUCGGCAAACCAGGCCAUCCGGCCUUUCCCAUUUCCUCCCCUCGGGCCUUAGGCCCGUGUUGUCUUAAGCCCAAAACCCUAGCCCCCUUUAGUUUUUUUUAAGCUUUGUUAAUUGGUUUUUAAAACCCAAAAAGGGCUCGGGCCUUAUAUAAUUUGGCCUUGGGCCGGUUAUAUAUUAAAGGGCUUAAAGCCCUGUCCUUUUUAAUAAGGCCUUAAGGCCUUUGUGUUUUGGUGGUGUGUGUGUGUUUGGGGAGUGUAUAUGUUUGGGCUUAAGCCCAAACCCCAAUUCUCACCUUAAUACCCUUUUAACCCAAAAACCCUAGGUUUCUAAAACCCAUUUAAAACCCUAAACCCAUCCAAUCCCAAAUCCCCUAUUUUAUUUAAUUCAAACCCAAUCUUUUAGAAAAUCCUUUUAUUUAUCUAUUACAUUUUUGUGCUUAGGUAAAGUUGCUAGUGGAGAAAUUCUAUAUCCUUAUUCACGCGAUUCAUCUGCUAAAGAAUAUUUGUGAGUGGACCCUUUCUAAAAUUACAUGAUUUUAUAAUUUAAUUGCAUAAAUGAUUAGUAUGCCUACGGAUUUAUGAAUUGAUUUAUGUUAAGCCUGUUUUUGGAAUUUAUUGAUUUCGUCUCGUGUUUUGGUGAGGAAAUAAAUUGCUAGCCUAGUUUGAGCUAUAUUUUAAUACAUCGUAUUUUCUAUAAAAACCAUGAACUGGUAGACUAUUUGAUGGAUGACGAUAGGAUGCUAGAACAUGUUUUAGAAACCCCUCUUUAUAGUAUAGACAAUGGAUGACUUUAUACUAUGAAGUGGUUAUUUAUGAGAGGCGUAACUAUUUGUGCGUACCUAGCAGACACUAUGCCGUCUGGGGCGAGGAACUGGUGUUGGCAUUUAGGCCGGGAGAAAUAAUCCCUAGCUACGGGCUGAGGGACAUGGAGCAAGCAUUGGGCCGGGAGUUGGUAAUCUCUGGUUACGGGCGCAGAGACCACGGAGCAGGUAUUGGGCCGAGAGUUAUAUUUAUUUAGUGAUCUUUCUAGCAGCACACCACGUUUACGAGAUGAUUUAUGAUGCGUUUACUGUUUUGAUUUCUGCAAUGAUAUUCCACGAUGUGAUUUUUGAGAUAUUUGGCAUGCUAGGUUUUUUAUUAAAUUCAUCACUUAUUAUGCUAGUAGUUUUCAUUUAUAUAAACUUUGGGGGUUAGUAUGUUGAUAACUAAUUUAUUAUUAUUGUAUAUAUAAACUUGGUCCACUCACCUUUGUUUUGCGCCCCCAUUCAGGACUUAGGAUUAAGGCACUUAAUCCCGGCGUGAAGGCACUUCCGCAGCAGCAUCUUCAGAUCGUCUCGAAUGUAGGACUCACUCCUUUAUUCAUUAAAUUUUAUCUUAAUUCUUCUUAGUGAUUAGGUUUAGUUGUAUGCUCUGAGCAUGUUCCUAAACCUUUUAACUCUUAGUAUUUUAAAUUUCUAACCCGUAUUUAUUUCUUAUUCUUAGCUUUUGUAUCAAUUAAUGGCUUUCGUCACCCUCGGGUGUCGGCCAUCACGUGUCUAUCCUGGUAUUCGGGUAAUAUCAGGAUCGGGGCGUGUCAAAUUCGGCUGUAGUUUGCUGUCGCCAAUUCAGUGUCUCAUUUGUGUUUGCUCUCUAACUUUUUAACAGCGGUCUAUAAACUUAACUUUUAAUUUAACGGUGCUAUCUUUUCAAAAGACUAAUAUAACAAAUAAAAAAAAUAAAAGAAAAACAAAAGGUGCCUAACUCUCCAACUACCCAAUUACACUAUUUAAUUGGUGUUAUCACUGUUUAAUUUAACGGUGUUGAAGCAUGUGUCACUAAGUUAGAAAGAAGACAUGACGAAGACACUAGUUUAUGGACAUCAGACUCCUGGCCCUCAAUUUGUAAAUCAGAUUAAUAGUCUCCGUGGUGAUAGAGUAUUCGGAGGAUAGUUUAUGUAGAUCACUGAGGUCUUCCGGCGGCUCGACUCCAAGCCCAGCUGUGAUGCAUGCUCCCUCGUCUGCAAGCGCUAGCUCGCCCUCAAGCGCCUCAGCAGCACCGCUCUCUGCAUUGGUGCCACCGGCAGCUCAGACUUCGUCGUCGGCCUCUUCACUGCUAAUUUCGCAACGUUCGCGCCGUUCACCUUGAUGAGCACCUUAACCUUUCGUCGAUGAGGCUGCAUUUUGUUUGAGAAAAUGAAUUUCAUUGAUUAAGAGAAUAAAAUUACAAUGUUGUGGUAUGUGUAUAUAUAUAUACACACACUCUCACAUAACUUUAACCUUCUAAACACCUUGCGACCUAUACAACAAUCUCAACUAAUUACUAAUCUAAUACAACAACCAAAACAAACAAACUAGCUCUAAGUUUUAUCACCAAUUGAAUCUUUAACAAUACUAUCCAUAACAUCCCCCCUCAAACUAAACUGAGGAGUUCAAAGGGACAGUUUGGAUUUUAAGAGCUGAAACCGGUCUUUGGAAAGAGAUUUUGUGCAUAUAUAUGAAAUUUGAUUUUGAGUGCAGAUAAAAUGGACUGAGAUGGCCUUCGAUAACAACUUUUCUCGAAUGUUGUGGUAGUUGAUCUCUACAUGCUUUGUUCUAGCAUGAAACAAAGGAUUUUUGGCAAGAGAGAUAGCUAAUUGAUUAUCACACUAGAGUUGAGGAGUACAUGUGUAACAACCCGUCCCAAUUUUUUACGGAACGAAAGGGUAAUGUUGUAAUUUCAUGUUGGGUUAGGAUAUUGGUUUAAAAUAUUGUUUUUGAGGGCCUAAAUAGGUGUGCCCAAGGGGCCCACCUAUGGAGUUUGUUCGCGACCCUCUCCCUUGUCUCUCUCUCUUUCUUCCCUCCUAUGAGUCUCACUAUCUUUUUCACUUUAUCUCUAUCACUCUUACUUCUCUCCCUUCUCUCUCGGCAAGUACCGAAGGGUGCCAUGGGGGAAAGCACCACCAGAGAAACCACCCAUUUCACCCUAUAGACCUUACGAGCUCGAACUCGAGCCCUGUUACGUAGGAAAAACCGAGCCGUGAGACUCUAACUCCAAGCUUCGACGAGAACAAAGUUCCUCGACGCGACUUUGAAUGAUUUUGUAACCUUUUUGGUUUGGGUAAGCCUCAAAACACUCCAAAUGCUUAUCUUUUCGUCCCUAUAGUUCUUUUCUAACCACGUUGUUGUGUUUUGAACAUCAAAAUACGAAGAAACACCUCGAAGGACUAUGUUCAAUGGUUUUGUGCUUAUCUAGUGGUCACUAUACCGCCACGGGUGAGGAUUAUAGUUGUUGGCUGCGGGCUAAGAGAAAUAAUCUCUGGCUACGAGUGCAGAGACAUAAAAGCGGGCAUUGGGUCAGGAGAUAAUAUUAUUGGAUACCACUAUGUAUCACACUAUAUAGGAGAUAUGUUUUAUGAAGGUUUUAUGACAUGCUACGAUUUUCGGAAAACCUAUUACAUAUUAUACUAUUGAAUUUCCAUAAAACUUUGGUGGUUAGUAUGUUGAUAAAAGUUUUAGUAAGUGUGUGUGUAUAUAUAUAUAUCAACUUGGUCCACCCAUGUUUGUUUUAUGCCCCAUCAGAACUUAGAAUCGCUGCGUACAAUCUCGACGUCAAGGCAUUUCCGCUUCGGCAGCUUCGAGUCCUCUUAGUGUAGGACCCAUUCCUUUGCUCCUUCAAUGUUAUAUUAUUUUCUUUUUAGUGUUCUAGAUUAGUUGUAUGCUCCGAACACGUUCAUCAUUUGCAUAUUAAAUAUAAUUAAAUUUAUAAGUCUUAUAUAUUUCGGGUUCUCAUGCAUUCUAAUAUGGCUUCGUCACCUUCGGGUAUCGGCCAGCACGUUCUUACCCUGAUGUUUGGGGAAUAUCAAGGUCGGGCAUGUCAACAUGGAAGAUGGAAACCAAUAUCAGCAAGUAAUUGACAUAUCCAUGUAAUUUCAUCUAUAGUAUUAGCUAAAGAUCGAUACUCUGCCUCUGUUGAAGAACGAACCACUGUUGAUUGCUUCUUAGCAUUCCAACCGAUGAUAGAUGAACCCAGAAAAUACAAUAAGUGCUAGUUGAUCUUCGAUGAAGUGUGAAAGCUGCCCAGUCAGCAUCUGAUAAGGCUUUGAGAGAUGGAAUAGAGACAGAUUUUGUAAACCAAAGACCAAUGUCAAUGGAACCCUUAAGAUAUCGAAUGAUCCUUUUGACAACUUGAAAAUGAGACUGCCUUAGACUAUGCAUGAAUUGACUGUAAAUGAUAAUUUUGGCCGAGUCCAAGUAAGAUAUUGUAAUGAACCAACCAAAGGUCGAUAUCUGCAGGAUUAUCAAACAAUGGAGAAGAAAGAUCCAUCUUGGAUGUACUGAGUGGGGUAGCACAUGGUUUUGCUCCAGCCAUGUUAGCCUUCUUUAAUAGAUCCAAGAUAUACUUUGUUUGUGAAAUGAAGAUGCCUUUGGAGGAUCGCUUGACUUCAAUUCCCAGAAAAUAAUGAAAUGCACCAAGGUCUUUAAUAAGAAAGAGAUAGCUAAGUUGAGAAAUAACAUGCUUGCAAGCUGCUGCAGAUGGCCCUGUGACAGUAAUGUCAUCAACAUAUAUCAGAACAAAGACCAUAAGAUCCCUUUUGACAAACAAUGAAUGAUCUAAUUUGGAACCAGUGAAGCCAAAAGUGUGUAAUGCUCCAUGGAGUUUUUCAUACAAGGCUCGGGGAGCCUGUUUAAGACCAUAUAGGGAUUUAUGCAAUUGACAACAUGAGUAGGAUGAAUAACAUCUUCAAAACCAGGCGGCUGUUGCAUAUAAACAGAUUCAGACAAUGUCUUACGCAGAAAAGCAUUGCUUUCAUCUAGUUGAUUGAGACUCCAAUCAAAUUGGGCAGCAAGAGUGAGUAGGAGUCGAAUUGUCACAGGCUGGGCUACUGGACUAAAAGUCUCAGUAUAAUCAAGUCAUUCUUACUGAUGAAAACCUUUGGCAACUAAGCAAGCUUUGUACCUAUCUAUGGUACCAUCAGGUUUUGCUUUUAAUCCUGAUAACCCACUUACAUCCUACAAUGUUUUGAUGAGCAGUUUUGGGUACUAAGGACCAAGUACCAGUUUGUUGUAAGGCAAGAAACUCCUCCUGCAUUGCCUUAACCCAAUGUGGAUAUUUGGAAGCUUAGAGAUAUGUAGUGGGAACAAAUUCAUUGGAAAGAUAAGAAAUGAGAGGAUGUUUGGUUGCAGAAAAGGCUUUUGGUUUGUAAAUACCAGAUUUGGACCUGGUUUGCAUAAGGUGAGUAUUAGUAUGAACCGAGUGAGAUGUAGGUAUAAGAGAUAUAGGUAUAAAGGUUGUUAGAGAAUAUAGGAGAUUGAGAUGAUGGUAUAGGGGAAUAGAUCUGUGGUUAAGUGAAUGUGAGGUGCAUGGGAAUGGUAUUGAGAGAUGAAGCUGCUACUGAGGAAAGAGAGCACUGUGAAGCUACAAUAGUGUGAAAGGGAAAAUUGCCUUUAUCAAAGAUCACAUUUCGUGAGAUGUAUAACUUGUUGCUAGUGAGAUCCAAACAUUUGUAACCUUUGUGGUUGAGGCUAUAACCAAGGAAUACACAGAGCUUGCUUUUGGGAUCCAAUUUAGACUCAUAGUAAGGUUGCAACCAUGGAAAACAACUACCCCCAAAAACCUUCAAGGUGGCAUAGUUAGGUGAUAUGUGGAAGAGACGUUCCUAUGGAGACAAUCUGGAUACAGUAGGUAAUCUGUUUAUGAGAAACAUAGCAGUGGAAAAAACAUGAUCCCAAUAGCUGUGAGGGACCUUAGAAACUGUUAAAAGUGUUCUGGCAGUCUCAACUAUGUAUAUGUGCUUAGGUUCAACACAACUAUUCUGUUGAGGGGUGUAUAGAUAACUUAGUCAAUGAUUGAUACCAUUCUCAAUAAAGAAAUUAGAGCAUUGAGUGCUAAGAUAUUCCCCACCAUAAUAUGAUCUAAGAGCAGCAAUUUUAGUAUGCAACAAGUUCUCAACAAGACUUUUGAACUUAACAAAAGUAGGAAACACAUCAGAUUUAUAUUGCAAAGACAAAGCCAACAAUAUUUUGUAAAAUCAUCUACAAAUAUGACAUAGUAUCUGAAAUUGUUCGCAGAAAUGAUAGAUGUUGGCCCCUAAACAUCUGUGUGAAGUAGCUCUAAAGGUUUACUGGUAUGAAAAGUAUCUGGAAUUGUUCACAGAAGUGACAGAUGUUGGCCCCCAAACAUUUGUGUGAAGUAGCUUCAAAGGCUUACUGGUAUGACAAGUUACAUAAGCAAAUGGCAAUCUAGAACUUUUGCUUAAGGUACAACCAUUACAGAAAGACUUAUUGGAACCAUUAGAAAAAGAAAUAAAAGACUUAGUAACCAACUUAUUGAGAAUCUUCACCGAAUGAUGGCCAAGUCUUUGGUGCCAAAUAUUUUUGGAUGUGUUAACAGAAGCAGCAAACACAUUGUGAUUAUGGAUCACAAAACUGGAAGGCUGUGGUUGAAAUGGAUAGAAGCCAUCUCUCACAGGACCUUUAAAGAGCAUCUUCCCCGAAGAAAUAUCCUUCACAGUGAAAUGAAAAUGAUAAAGAUACAUAGAACACCAAUUGUCAACAAGAAACGGAUUUGCAGAAAGCAAAUUUUGUUUCAAAUCAGGAACAUGUAACAUAUUUCGAAGUUGAAAAUUAUGAUGAGGAGUAUUUAAUGUAGAAAAACCAGAGUGGAGAAUAGGAAAACCUUUAAAAAGUGUUGUAAGAAUUGGUCAUGUGAAUACUAGCACCGGAGUCAACAAUCCAAGUAAGUUGAGGAGAAUGUGUGCUUGCAGCCAUAACAGAAUGAGAAACAUUGCUGGAAUAAUGUGGAUUCAUGCGCUGGGGACACUCGAUUGCAUCAUGCUCAAACUAGCGACAAAUUUGGCAUGGAAUCCUCCUUCCUGAGAAAUUGAAGGAUGAUCAACCACCACGGUUGUAGUGCUGAGAAUUGUUGGGAGAAGAAUUUGGACAAUUGUUGUUAGAACGGAAGUUGCUUCGUCCCUGAAAGUUUCUAGGGUUGGAGAAACCAUGAUCGCCACCACGACCUUGAGAGAAAUUAUGAUCACCACCACGACCUGGAGGAUUAUGUUAAGCAACAAAAUCCUGAGAAGGCGAAGUAGGAAGAAUGCCGGCGGUGGAGUUGUAUGCCUGAAUUGACACUAUCGAAGUAGUUUUCUUCCGAUUUGUUAGCUGAAUCUCUUUAUUGAGAAGGAGACCAUGCAGCAUCAAGUGUGGUGGAACCAAGUCGGAAUUGUAUCGCAUCAACAAAGAUUCGUACUCUGGUGGUAACUCAUGAUGUGUGAUAGAGGUUAAUUCAGAAUCCUCAACUGGAGCACCGACACUAGCAAAAGCAUCAGUGAUCUCUUCAAUUUGUUGAGGAUAUUGGGCAGCUAUGGAAUCGCCAUUCGAAAUGCUGUGCAGACAUGAUCAGAGCUCGUGGAUGUACAAUUGAGACGUCGUCGCAAGGCGUGACUCCAAUCUUGCCUAAAGCUCUCUGGAUGUAGUAACUCCAACAGUGUAAGGUUGAUCGAUUUAGAGAACGUGGAAUUGAUCCAAAUGAGGAUGUUCUUAUCGUUCUCGAACCAAUAAACAUAUGCCGGAUUCAGAAUUUGAUUUCCAACAGCAUCAGUGAUGAAUUAAGAUGGAGGAGGCAUCGAUCCAUCAAGAAUUCUAGUGAGAUUAUAGUGAAGGAAGAUCGGAGCAAACAAUGCACUCAAGGUGAGAUAAUUGGUCGGAGUCAGCUUGAUCGGCACCAUGGAUCUGAUAUUCUAGAUCGUGAUUGAAGGUGUGGAAAGAGUAUAACUCGAAUUUGAAAGAGGAUUACGAUGAAUUUGUGUUACAAAUUCGGAAGAGGGAGAAGCUGAGGUCUCCAUGGGAGAAAGUUAGGGUUUGGCAGUGAAAGCUUAGCGAAGAAGCUUAGGAAGGAAGAAAGCUUAGCGAAGAAGCUGGAGAAGGGAAAGCGUGGAUUGGAUCAAGUCGGUAGACAGAAGGUGGGUGAUACCAUGUUAGACAAAAUUAAUUUCAUUGAUUAAGAGAAUAAAAUUACAAUGUUGUGGUGUGUGUGUGUGUGUGUGUGUGUGUGUGUGUAUAUAUACUUUCACAUAACUCUAACCUUCUAACCACCUUGCCACCUAUACAACAAUCUCAACUAAUUACUAGUCUAAUACAACAAUCACGACAAACUAAGUAGCUUUAAGUUUUAUCACCAAUUGAAUCUUUAACAAUACUAUCCUUAACACAUUCUGCCAAUGGCUCCAACAACAUGCUUGAUUUGAAUAGCUUAUAGGAUGCCAGUAUGACUGCUAUCAGCGACAGAUUUCCCGGGCUCGAAAAUCUGAGCUUAAUCUGGUGCUCCAAUGCCUUUAGUAUCGGUCUAAUUUUGCUGAUAAGUGUAAAUUGUUGAAAUCAUUGGAUUUGUUAGAGUUGAAUUUGAAUGCUUGAAGCCUGCAAUUCUUCGUUUGAAUACUUAACUAGAAAUUAUUGGUACAUUCCUAAAUGGGUUACAUUUGGGGUACUGUCUUGCAAUCUUGUUUUGAAUACUACCCCAAACUUUUUUUUUGAACAAACGAUAUUAUCUACACCAAUGAUGACUACAAUCCCCUGAGUUUAUCUUUUGUUGACCCUAAAAACUAUUUGGGCCUAAACACCUUCCCAUGUAUGCCUCUUAGCCACCAAAAUAAUCCAUCAGCUAGCUCAAUUUGCCCUUCACAGUAGUUGUUUUUGUUGUUUAGUUAAGGAUUUCUAGAAAUUAGAAACUUUUUUUUUUUGUUCCCUCAUUUAUGGCUUGUUAAUACAAGCUAUCGUUGCAUACAUAUAAAAAAAAAGAAAGAUGUAGCCUUAAGCCAACCAUAUUUUUUAAAAUUAUUAUUAUUAAAUGGACGAUUCAAAACUUUUAUAAUAACUUAGAUGAGGAGGGAUGUUCGAACCUAACACGCAAGGUACAAAUCAACUUCCAAUCUACUAGGAUAAUGGACCACAUGCAUUAUGCCUAACCAUAUAAAUAUCAUGGAUUGAUAGCCUUACUCGAUAAUUUCUUGUAAAACGAUCUUUGAAUCUCAAAAAUUGGUAAAAUUUAUUUAUUUUAAUACAUUCGAUAUUAUCUAUACUAAAGGGUCGAAGAAUGGCCAAACCUCACAGCGGCUAGUAAUAUUUCUUUUGUUUUAAUGCCUUUAGUCACAUGUAUAAGGAAAUUUAUAUUUCGUUCAUUCACUAAUCACCCAAGAAUCAUAUUCAUAAAGUAAUUAUCCAAAAUUUAAAACAAAACACCAAUAAAUAAUCCAAAUACAUAGAAAAAAAGUAAUGCUAGGAAGGCUAAAUUUGUAAACAAAAUUUGCAAACCAAAUGAUGUGUCACCAAUAAGGAAUGAUCACAUUUAUCCUUUUUUAAUUAAUAAUCCAAUCAACAACUUCAAUGUCAUUUAAUUCACAAAAUUGUCUUUAAAUUUAGUCUCCCUAAGGACCCUAACAUUACUCCAUAGAAAAUUGUUGAAAAACUUGAACCAAAUAUUAAGAGGGCGUUUAGCCAAUAGGGGGAACUCGGACACAUGUUGGUCCCUGUUUAAAAGUUUUAAUCUUCCAUCGGUGUAGAUGACUUUUGAAAAUAAAAAAACUACAUAGUGGAAUGUUCGGGAUUAUCAACUUGAACAAAGUUAGUCUGUAUGACUUUACGACGUGAAUGAUACUUAGCAACAACAUGAGCAAGUGCUCGGCAAAUGCAUGACCAAUAGUCCUUGGAACCACAACGGUAACAUAUGUCUAUUUCUAUGGUGGUUGUGCCUUACCUUUAUUCUUGAGGUUGAAAGAUUUGGGAUCUAGAGAAUCGCGCUUUGAAACCACAACGGUAACACAUGUUUAUUGGACCCCAAAAGUGUGGCAAGCGGCGUUCGUUAUGGGAAGCUGAGAUAUCCACCAAAACAUGAAGCCACAGGGUAUUCUCUUGUUUACAAUCAGCUCCACCCUUUUGAAGGCUUCCAAAAUUACACUUCCGGAAUCAUCCACCAUGUUCGUCUCACAGGUUUGAUUUCGUUUACUUCUUAUUUUCUUCAAAGUUUCAAUGGAGAAUUACAAAGUUGGGUUUUGCUGAAAUGACUGAACUUUUAAAUCCCCCAAACAUAAGUUUUGAUGGAAUGUGGUUCUUCUGAUAAGUUGGUGAUCUAAUUGUUGUUUUGAUGUAGGGUUGAAACUGAAUACACUGUAUUUUUAACGAUGCGGGGAUCCUUCUAUACCUGCAAUGAGUGAAAUCCACCAGUUCAAGACUAUGUCAGUUUCUGGUCCUCGGAGCUACCCUGAGAGAAUAGCGGUUGUGGGAGACAUUGGCCUUACAACACAACUACCACAAUAAGUCACUUGACAAGUAACAAUCCUGAUCUUGUUUUGUUGAUUGGUGAUGUUACUUAUACAAACCUCGACCACACACAAAUGGAACUGGCUCUGACUGCUAUUCUUGCUCAUUUCCAAACUCUCCGAUACAUGAGACCUAUCAGCCUCGAUGGUUUUACUGGGGAAGGUUAAAAUAUAAAUUGCUUUAUUUCUAUCAUAGGCAAUGGCUGCUGUAAAUUAUGGCAUAGAACUUGUUUUCUUAUGUUGUCAUUGCUGGGUAAUUUGUGUAGGUAUAUGCAGAGUUUAGUGUCCAAAGUUCCAAUAAUGGUUGUUGAAGGGAACCAUGAAAUAGAAGAACAGACUGAAAAUAAGACUUUUGAGGCUUAUAGUUCUCGGUUUGCAUUCCAAUCUGAAGAAAGCGGAUCUUCGUCCACAUUCUACUACUCAUUUAAUGCAGGGGGGAUUCAUUUUAUCAUGCUUGGAGCCUACACUGACUUUAGCAAAUCAAGUAAUUAAAGUUUGCCUAAUUUUUGAGCUCAUUCCUUGCCUAAAUAUUCGUAUUUUUGCAUUUCUUUUUCUUUACAAAUGGUUUCGUUAUUGUUUCUAUCCCCAUUAAUCAGUGAUUUCUUUGCCUACAGGGAAACAAUACAAGUGGCUGGAGCAAGAUUUGGCUAAUGUGGACAGAUCUGUUAAAAGUUAAUGCUUUACUUAAACUGAUUCUGCUAUACUGAAACUGAUUCUGUGUAAAAGGGCUGACUGUUGCCUUUAUCAGUCGACCCAUUCUCUUUCUCAGUCGACCCAAUUACUUCAGUCGGCUUAUGUAUUGAGCCAUAUAUAUCAGAAAUAUCUGAAUGAAAAUAUCAAAUCUCUGUUUUAAGUAAAAAACAUCAGCCCUCUGUUUCCAAAAAAGCUCUCUGCACUCUGUUUCUUUGAUUUUCAAUCUUUAUCAUUUUAUUCAAGUUUUAUUAAUGAUGAAAGAUUGUCUAAUACCAACAUGGUAUCAGAGCCAAUCUGAUCAAAGAGUGGGGCGUUUUUUUUUAUUCUCAAAAAAGGGGAAAAUUCCAAGUGAAACCCUAGAAUCAAAAUUUUUCAAAUUCAUGGUUGGUUCAAGUAGCAGUGGUGAGAUUCGAACUCCUAUCUUCAGUGGAGUAAACUACGACUUCUGGAGGACAAAGUUGAGAACAAUUUUUGUAUCUCAUGAUUUGUGGAGCUUGAUUGAAGAUGGCUAUGUUGUACCUCCAAGCAAUGUGGUUUUGACAGAGACUCAAACAAGGGAGUUGAAGGUAAACAUCAAGAGAGAUGCAAAAGCUCUUGGGGUCAUCCAAAAUGCUAUCUCAGAUGAAAUUUUUCCGAGAAUCUCAAAUGAGACAAGUGCCAAAUCAGCUUGGGAUAUGCUGGAGAAAGUCUACAGAGGUUCUACUAAGGUAAGGGCUGUCAAACUCCAAUCUUUGAGAAGAGAUUUUAAGUAUAUAAGAAUGAAAGAUGAGGAAUUGCUAGAUGAUUACCUGAGUAGAUUGUCUGAGAUUAUUAAUCAAAUGAAAAGCUAUGGUGAAAUCUUGUCUGAUGAGAGAAUAGUUCCGAAGUAUCUAAUUAGCUUGCCAAGAAAGUAUGACAACAUAGUUUCAAUCAUAGAGGAGACUAAGGAUUUGUCAACUUUGAGUGUUGAAGAAUUGAUUGGUUCUCUCAAAGGUUUUGCUCAGAGAUUAUCUAGGCAUGACAACAAUGAUGUAGAAAAUGCUUUCCAAACACUUACAGUGAAUCCAAAAACUCAAGCUAGUUCAAGUCAAAGCAAAGCCAACUCCAACAAGAAUUGGAAAGGCAAAAACAAAGCGUGGGAAGGAAAGGGUAAUUUUGAAGACAAGAAAAAGGUUGAGAAGAGUUUGUAUGUUUCGAAGUGCAAAAUUUGUGACAAAGCUCAUUCCGGUGAAAUUGGUUCAAAGGAAAAGUGAAAUGCCACAAGUGUAGCAAAUUCGGGCAUAUGCAAAAGGAUUGUACCUACAAAGAUAAUCAGCUAGCUCACUACACCAAAGCAGAAGAUGAAGAGACCAAUAUGUUUUAUUUUGGUCAUGAUACAACCGUCCAAGAAGAAGCUAAAGUUUGGUUUGUGGACAACGGCUGUAGCAAUCAUAUGACGGCGAAUAAGAACAUUCUCCAUAAUGUUGACACUACAAACCUAACCCGAGUGAAGAUGGGAAAUGGGCAGCUAGUCGAUACAUUGGGAAGAGGUACUAUUGCCGUGCAUACGAAGAAUGGAAAGAUGUUCAUCAAGGAUGUCAUGUUAGUUCCUGAUUUGAAGCAAAAUUUGCUAAGUCUUGGACAACUCAUUGAGCAUGGCUACUACUUAUAUUUUGGAGACAAUACUUGCAAGAUAUAUGAUACGAGGAAUCGUCAAUAACUCGUGGCUAAGAUUGAGAUGAGGAAGAGUAGAAGUUUUCCUCUCACAAUUGAGUAUGCAACUCAAUCUGCAUUCAAGAUGGAAGUGCAAGAAGAUUCAAAGCUAUGGCAUAAAAGGCUUGGCCACUUGAAUUUUCAAAGUCUCAAGAAGCUACAAGAAAAAGAAAUGGUGCAUGGGUUGCCGAGUAUCCAAGAAAAUGAAGAAAUCUGUGAAAGGUGUGCACUUGGGAAGCAUCAUAGAGAUUCAUUUCCACAUGGUAAAGCUUGGAGAGCAAAAGUUCCAUUGGAAUUGAUUCAUACAGAUGUUUGUGGACCCAUGAAGACCUCUACUCAAGUGGGAAACAAGUAUUUCCUAAUCUUCGUGGAUGAUUAUUCCAGAAUGACUUGGGUAUACUUUCUAAGACAGAAAUCAGAAGUGUUCUCAAUCUUCAAGAAGUUUCAAGCUAUGGUUGAGCGACAAUCUGGGUAUCUAAUCAAAGUUCUUAGAAGUGACAGAGGAGGAAAGUAUACAUCCACAGAAUUUGAUAAGUUUUGUCAAGAUAUUGGCUUGGAAAGACAACUUACUGUCAGCUACACUCCACAACAAAAUGGAGUAGCUGAGAGAAAAAACAGAACCAUAGUCGAAAUGGCUAAGGCAAUGUUACAUGACAAGGGAAUACCUCAAUAUUUAUGGGGUGAGGCAGUUAAUACAGCGGUCUACUUGAUGAAUAGGCAUCCAACAGUGGCAGUUGAAGAUAAGACACCAUUUGAGGCAUGAAGUGGAAGAAAGCCUUCCGUGAAUCAUUUGAGAGUGUUUGGGUCAAUCUGCUUUGCUUAUGUUCCGAAAGAACUAAGACAAAAACUUGAUGAGUCAAGUGAAAGAUGCAUUUUCGUAGGCUAUGCUUCAUACACAAAAGGGUACAGACUUUACAAUUUAAAAAGGAAGAAAGUUGUGAUUUGUAGAGAUGUUCUUUUUAGUGAGAAAUCUUCGUGGGAUUGGAAUCAAGCAACCAUCUGAGAAAAAUCUGUACAAAUCAGAAUUGAAGAAGAAAAUCAACCAAAUGAAGAGGAAAUUGAGCCAGAAAUUCCACAAUUAUCACCUGAAAACAGUCCUCAAACUCACUCUCCUACAUUUUCAAGUCCAAGUUCAACGCCGGUUCGAUUAAGGAGCUUAAAUGAAGUCUAUGAAAGCUGCAAUUUUUGUGUUGAAGAACCAGAAAACUUUGAUGAUGCAGUGAAAGAAGAGACUUGGAAGGCUGCAAUGCAAGAGGAGAUCAAUGUCAUUGUGAAAAACAAGACAUGGGAACUAGUGGACAGACAUUGUGACAACUCCGUCAUUUGAGUGAAGUGGAUUUAUAAGACUAAGCUCAAUCAAGAUGGUUCCGUUCAAAGGAACAAAGCUAGAUUGGUAGCAAAGGGUUAUUCUCAGAAACCCGGGAUUGAUUUCCAAGAAACAUUUGCACCGGUAGCUAGGCAUGAAACAAUCAAAGGCCUUAUUUCCGUAGCUGCUCAGAAGGGGUGGUUUCUACACCAACUUGAUGUCAAGUCGGCUUUCCUAAAUGGAGUCCUAAAAGAAAAGGUGUUCGUUGACCAACCUCAAGGAUUUGUUCGUAAAGGACAAGAGCACAAGGUGUAUAAACUUAAGAAUGCACUUUAUGGCUUGAAACAAGCUCCGAGAGCAUGGUAUGGAGAGAUCGACUCAUAUUUCAAUGAAAGAGGUUUUCAAAGAAGUGAGAAUGAACCUGCCCUCUAUGUCAAAACAGAAGGUAUUUCAGAUAUCCUUAUUGUUUCCUUAUAUGUUGAUGAUUUGGUUUAUACUGGAAGUAGUCGUAAUAUGAUCUUGAAUUUCAAGAAUGACAUGAUGAGGAAAUAUGAGAUGAGUGAUCUACGCAUGUUGCAUUAUUUUUUGGGAAUUAGUAUCAUUCAAUCAAAUGAUGGUAUCUUUAUUACUCAAAAGAAAUAUGCAAAAACACUUCUAGAAAAGUUCAAAAUGGUUGGUUGCAAGCCUGUUGCAACACCUCUAGUUGUGAAUGAAAAGUUUCAAAGAGAAGAUGGUAAUGGUGAUGCUGAUGAAUCUGUGUAUAGAAGCCUGGUUGGGAGUUUGUUGUAUUUGACAGCGACUAGACCCGAUAUUAUGUAUGCUGCAAGCUUGUUGUCCAGAUUUAUGCACAAGCCUACUUGCAUUCACUAUGGAGCUGCAAAGAGGAUCCUAAGAUACAUACAAGGUACACUUGACUUUGGUAUUAUGUAUGAAAGGAAUGUUAAGCCCAAAUUGUAUGGGUUCUGUGAUAGUGAUUGGGGAGGUAGUGUGGAUGACUUGAAGAGCACAUCUGGCUAUACUUUUACAUUAGGGACUGGUGUAUUCUCUUGGGCAUCUAAGAAACAGAAAUCAGUUGCACUAUCAACGGCAGAGGCUGAGUAUGUGUCGGCUUCAAUUGCAACUUCUCAAGCAGUGUGGCUGAGAAGAAUUAUGCAAGAUUUUGGUGAGAAACAAGAAUCAGCAACUCAUAUCUUUUGUGACAAUAAGUCAGCUAUUGCCAUGAGCAAGAAUCCUGUCUGUCAUGGUAAAUCAAAGCAUAUUGCUCUGAAGCAUCACUACAUCAGAGGUGCUGUGAAAGACAAGGAAGUGGAUGUGGUCUACUGCAAGACAGAAGAUCAAGUUGCUGAUAUCUUCACCAAGGCAUUACCAAAGGACAGAUUCAUCUACCUAAGAGAACUUUUGGGAGUGAAGCAGCAAAGCAUUAAGAGGGAGUGUUAAAAGUUAAUGCUUUACUUAAACUGAUUCUGCUUUACUGAAACUGAUUCUGUGUAAAAAGGCUGACUGUUGCCUUUAUCAGUCGACCCAUUCUCUUUAUCAGUCGACCCAAUUACUUCAGUCAGCUUAUGUAUUGAGCCAUAUAUAUCAGAAAUAUCCGAAUGAAAAUAUCAGAUCUCUGUUUUAAGUAAAAAGCAUCAUCCCUCUGUUUCCAAAAAAGCUCUCUGCACUCUGUUUCUUUGAUUUUCAAUCUUUAUCAUUUUAUUCAAGUUUUAUUAAUGAUGAAAGAUUGUCUAAAUACCAACAAGAUCCACAACUCCCUGGUUGCUAGAUACUUGGCAUCAUCCCUGGUAUAGUACCUAUGAGGUCCAUUACAGAGAGGCAGAAUGUAUGAGGUUGGAAAUGGAAGAGCUUCUGUACUCUUAUGGUGUAGAUAUAGUGUUCAAUGGACAUGUAAGUAACGAUAACCACCAAUGAUUGUCACAAUCUUUGAUAGGUAACAGGUUUCUUUCUUAUAGCCAGAAACUAUGUGGAAGAAGUGGUAUAAGGGUUCUUCGAUUGAGGCUUUCUUUCAUACCAGUAACCAGAUAGUGAUAGAAAGCUAGAAGGAACUGCAGUUUACGCUUUAAACUUUUGAGAAAACAAAUUUAAUAUGAAAUUAAUUGGUACUUGGUUCCCUUAUUGCUAAAACACAUAACACAAACUUAUUUGAAACGCUAUCAGAAACAAUGACCUUAUCUUGAAACUCGUAUCACAGCAGUACCAUUUGGUUCCGAUCCCAAGCAUGAUUUUAUUAAGUUGUCCUUAGUGUCUAUGAAUGAUGACAAUUUUCCUCAUUGUAACUAAAUAUCUUUUCGCUUUAAAGUGCACUGAAUGUUCUUCUGUUUUCUUGAAUAAAACAAUAGGUUCAUGCCUACGAGCGAUCGAAUCGAGUUUAUGAUUACAACUUAGAUCCCUGUGGUCCUGUAUAUCUCACCGUUGGUGACGGGGGUAAUCGGGAGAAGAUGGCAGUUCAACAUGCUGACGAACCUGGUCGUUGCCCAGAGCCAUCAACUACUCCUGAUCAACACCUAGGUGAUGGUGCCUUUUGUGCAGAGAACUUUACCUCCGGCCCAACAGCAGGUAAAUUUUGUUGGGAUCGGCAACCGGAUUACAGUGCUUUCAGAGAAAACAGCUUUGGCCAUGGGAUCCUUGAGGUACUCCUUUUUCUGUGUUUCUGUUUGGCAAAUAUUCAGUCUGACAAUGCAUUCAAUUGUCUAGAAACGUUAUACUUUAAUUUGUAUGACCCUACACUACAUAUGAUACAACUUGAAAAUGAUUGAUGGAAAGAUGAGCAUGUGCUUGACUGUCAAUGUGCAUAGAAAGACCACACAUGGGUAAAUGUUAUGGAACCAGUUUAAAUCAUUUUUACCAUUCCACUGCAAUGUCAAGAGAAAAUCACUUAGCACCAAUAUCUGUUUAUACAGAGUGCGAAAAUCCUGUGACUGACUUGAAUACCCUUGAUCGGUUAUUGAGUAGCAAACAUAUAGAUGUAGGCUAGUAGGCUACCUGGAUUAUACACUAAGCGUGCAUUUUGAUGUGCAUAACUUGCAGGUGAAGAAUGAGACUUGGGCUUUGUGGACAUGGUACCGGAACCAGGACUCCGACAAUAAAAUUGGAGAUCAAAUUUAUAUAGUGAGGCAGCCUGAUAAAUGCCGCAUCCGCCAUUUGUUCGAAAGUUGGCUUGCUGACCUCUAAUUCUCACUGCUGCUUGCUGGGAAAAAUUUAUUAUUAAGAUCCCAAAUCAAUUGACCAUUCUUAUCUAGAUAGGAAUAGGAUGGAAGGUUGCAGAAAGAGUAGGAAGAUGGGGUUUCACCUAUGUAUACACACUAUAUAUAAGUGGAGGGGGUUUGGGGGGGUGGGGGGUGGGGGAGGGGGCGGGGAGAGAGAGAGAGAGAGCACAGAAGAAGAGCAACUCCGCUGUUGUUGUAUGUAAAUGAUAAAAUCUCGUUUAUACGUCUCCUUUGUAACUUGAAUAUAUACUCUCUCAACCAAUUUAUACAACAACAAACGUGUAAGAUUGGUUCCUGGAGCAAUUUCGGAUAUUGAAUUCUAAACUAAUUGCGUAUUUUGUUGAGUUAUCAAAAAUUUCCCCUCCCCUUAUUGUGAAGCCGAGAAAUUGUUGGAAGUGACUUUUAUACUGUCACAUGGUGUUACCAGUUCACUGAUGUUAUGGUGGUACUGCUUAAAAGGGUGGCGUUUCGACAAAAUCCUUAGCUCGCGAGCUCACAAUGCACCCCGUCCAUAAGUCAUUCGGAGUUUGGACGGAACGAUGAGGUUCGCUACUACCUCCGUACAAAAAACCUUCAACAACUUCCCGUUCAUUGUAUUCUCCAUUAAAUUCCAGGCCAGGGGUUCCACCUCCAUCUCAUAGAGAUUAUCAUCACCUGUUGUUUCUGUGAAUAAUGUAAAUUUCUUACCAAAACAUUUGUAAUAUUGUGCCAAUUAUAUUAUAUAUUUGCAGGAUGCAUAGCAAUUUGGUGUCAGUAAAACUUUGUCUGCCGCAUAUUUGAUCAUGUUUUAACUUCGGAAUUUCAUGGUCUUGUUAAUUUUGACGGAUUUUGAAAGGCUUUUAAAACAAAUUAGAAUCAAACUUUCGAAUUUACUACCCCAAACAAAUUGCACUGCAAAUUACCAUAAUCAGAAUUCAUCAGGUCAUGUACGUACUACAUAACAUUUACUUAGGAUAUGAAAUGGUGAGAUCGAUAAAUUCGAAAUCAUCAUUAUAUUGUUGUUCUUAUUACAUUAAUAUAGAUAUAUGUAGCCACUAUAUAUACCUAUUAGAGUGAAUACGAUACCAAUGCCCCACAAUUUGUUGUCCUGACACAAUCGACCGGAUUCGCUGCGUUGUAGUCAAAACAGAUGACGACUUCCUGCAGAUACGCGAUCCCCCCGUCCUUCUUGCACAUAAGAAGAGGUGUUUUCCCUCCUAUAGUCCGUCGAAUGGCCGAUUCAAGGUCGAUGUAAUGAUAUUGAUAUCCUGGUACAAUCCCAGUUGUUUGAGAAAAUAGAUGUUGUGCAUUGUAGGUCAACCAUAAUCUAUGAGCUUCGUGGAAGUAUUGUGUCUGGGAAAAUUUAUUGUCCGAGCACCUGCCGUGCUUGUUGUACUCAUGCGCCCAGAAAUCCAUAUUUGUCCGUCUAUUGUUGAAGCUGGGCCAGGAAUUGGACAAAAGUAAUUGCAGAUUAUGAUCAGCAAUCAUCUGAAGCACAAAGACGAGAAGUUACAAGCAUUUCAGAGAGCUGCAGGAGAAAAAAACAAACUGAAAUGAGUAUAUAUAUUCAAUGUGUACCUGAUUUCUGUUGAAUAGGGUGCCAGCGCAGAGUAUAGGUGCAGAUGGAUCGGUAAAGUUGCUCGGCCAGAGGCCGUGUGUCGUAAAGGUAUGCCGUAGAACUUGUUGGUUUCCACAAAUUCCAUUCCCAAGGCAGAAGACGUAUUGGAAGAUAUCAUAUGGUGUGGCAGCAUUGCUCUUUCCGACAUAAGUGACGAAGCAAAGAGCGAUGACAACGAGAACAUGUUGUGCGGAAGCGUCAAAUGUGAAACCAAUAAACUACAACGGCAAAAUAUGAUAAACUACAAUGGCAAAAUAUGAUAAGACAAAUAAUCUAAAUAACACAAGGAUUUAUACUGGUUCGGCGUAAGCCUACGUCCAGUUCCGAGACGGCGAGGAAAUUCCACUAAUAUCAAAAGGAGAUUACAAAUAGAGUUCAACACUCAAACCCAAAUCCCACAUACACCCAAUAGCUUUCACUCAUAUAAAGAACAAAUAGAGAAGAAGAAACACAUACCAAAUCCUUCUCUCCCAAAAGCCACAAAAUGUAGCAAUAUAUCUUUGAAUGAAUGAUUGCACAAAUGGAGAACAGUAAAACAGCAGCACUCAAUUUUCUUCUCUAUCGGCUGCUCUCUGUUUUCUGCUAUAUGCUGCCGCUGAGUUUCUGCUCUCUUUUUUCUGCUAUCUGCUGCCGCUGAGUUUCUGCUCUCUUUACUGACCAAAAGGCAUGAAUUGCCUUAUAUAAGGCUGGUGCCUUUUAAUUAAACCCUAGCUGCCAUGUGGCUUUCAAAUGGGUAACAAAAGGCCAAACCUAUUUGGGUUUGAGACAAAAAACUAAAGGCCCAAGAAGUAUUGAGCCACAAAAUCCAACAGAACAAUCUUGAAGAAGUGCAUGGUUGUCAAGCAAUUAUCAAAAGAACAAAGGGAGGGAGGGAGGAUGGGAUGAGAAAUAACAAGGAAAGCUAAAGAGUGAAUGAAGUGUGAAUUUUCAAAGAAAUGAAGAGGUGUUUAAAUAGUUAGAGUUGAGGUUAAGGGUAGGGUUUGGAGAAAUUAAUUAAGGUGAAGCUAACUAGCAAAGAUGAUAAUAAUUAAGGUCAAGUAAGUGUGAACAGAUCCUGAACUAGGGAAUGCCUCUUUCUUGUUAUGCAAGGCUUUGCAUUCUCAUAUGCAUGCUAUAAAGGGUGGUAACCGUGUAGUGGUUGAUUCAUCAACAACCCAAUCAACCCAAUUAUAGCGGUUCCUCAUAUAUCAGAUUCAGACCCCAAGCAAGCUAAUAGUCUCAAUUUUUAGAUUAUAAUUCUAUUUGAGAAAGCCAUUCAGGACCACGCUAGCUAAAUAUGGUUCCAAUCGAAUAUAAACAGAAACGAUUUGGACAUUGUUUAUGUAUCUUAUCUUGUAAAUUGAAGUUUCAACCACUACCUUCUAGCAGUGGUAAUUCUUAUCUUUGAAAUUUUGGAGCUCUCCUCUCCUCUUCAUGGUUUCUAUUCAACUUACUUAUCCCGGUUGCAGAUAAUUAAUUAACUUGUGGAUUAAGUAAAUAGCUAUUUCAAUUUGCUGCUACUCACCCUGGAGCUAGCCUUCGGACCGGGGAAAUCAUAUUGUCCUAUAGACACCCGCUUCGUCGCUGCAAGGCGACACCGCAGGGUGGAUAUCUGCGGGUACUCAUCAUUUCAUUUCAUGGUUGUAUUGCUUCACAUUUGCAGAUUGUUAACACAACAUGCCUUCUGUUUAGUUAAUUCAUUAAUCAAACAUGAUCAAAUAUACAACAUACAAAUUGUUAGAAUUGAGGUCAAGUGUAGAGUGUAGAGAAAGAUUAAGUUGAAGCUAGCUAGCAAAGGUGAUAAUAAUUAAGGUCAAGUGAGUGUGAACACAUUCGGAAUUAGGGAAUGCAUCUUUCUUGUUGCCCACGGCAAUGCGUUCUCAUGCUAUAAAGGGUAGUAACUGUGUAGUGGACGAUUCAUCAUCAACCCAAUUAUAUAAAGUGGUUCAUCAUAUAUCAGAUUCAAACCCUAAGCUAGCUAGUAGUCCAAAUUUUAGAUUAUAAUUCUGUUUCAAAAAUCCAUUCAGGACAACGCUAGCUAAACAUGGUUCCGAACGAAAAAAUACAGAAACGAUUUAGGCAUUGCUUGCGUAUCUCAUCUUGUAAAAACGUACAACUUACAAUACACUUAAUUUCGAACAUUGUUUGAGUAUCUCAUCUUCUUCGUUGAAAGGCAACACCGCAGGGUGGAUAUCUGCGGGUAGCCAUCAUUUCGUUUCUUGGUUGUAUUGCUUCAUAUACUCGUAAAUUUUUAUCGACUCCAAGUUUCUUAAAGACAUCCAUAAUUUGAACAACAAAAGGAUUUCAUUACUUUCGAUAUCUACGUACACAUGUACUUGUUGUUGCCUUCCGUGACCGAAACCAUACUCUUCACAUAUACAACGGGCGAAUGAUUUGCUUUGCACAGUGGCAAAUAAUACGGUUGCGGAGGAAAAAUGGGAUUGAUCCUUACAGCACUUUGAAUGGGAAGAUUUUUAAGCUUCUUAGUACGGAAGUUAUAGCAGACUAUGCCUCCAUUUUCCUCUACUGUAAGAACCUCUUCGCUUUUCCACAUUGGCAAGCCUCCAUUUCCCUCUACUGUAAGAACCUCGUCGCUUUUCCACAUUGCCAAUGUGGAGUACAGGGGCAAGAGGGACCUUGAGAAUGAUGGGAUCUUGGCAGCAAAGUGUUUUGUCCAAACACCACCCGCAUUUUUCGGACCACCACCAGAAUCAUCAUCCAUUAGCCACAUUUCAAAGGGUGGUGUAUCACCAUCUUCAAAGGUAUUACAAUUCAAGCGAAAGAGAGCGAUGGAUUCAUUCCACACCUUAAGACGCAUUUCAAUACCAAAUCCUUCGAAAUUGUUGAACUCUACCAUCUCAUGUGGUAACAGUAUGUCAUGAAACACCUCACGACUCAUGUCAAACCAAACGAUCACUCGCCUAAUUUUUUUCUUGCUCGGGAUAGGUGACAUCAUAGCUAUCGGCAAAUUCCUUUUGUUGCUCACUUCCUAUCCAAUAACACAUCCCCUUGAAGUACACCUGAAAAGUUUCAGGCCAAAGGAAAGUAGUUUCCGUUUCUAAAGAAUAAGGCUCGAUCUCCCUCCAAGAAUUAGUUCCUAGGGUAUACACUACUACCUUGGGAGGAUGAAUAAUCAAAUGUUCUGUGCCGCCAUGCAAUUCUGAACCAGAAAAUCCAAUUUUGACAACUUUGUAAUCUUUAGAUUUAGGAUCAUAGCCUAAUCCCAAAACAUCGUUGAACCGAUUUGUUAGUGGCAUGUAAGGCAUAUCCAACCACCAAGGAUGAGGAUCCCUAAAGGAUGCUUCGUCGAACCAAUCUGGACUGUAUGUCUCCGAGGGAAGGACCCUGAAUUCCUGAAUUGCCGGAUUCCACAAAAGCACCUUAGUAGAAUUAGGACGAGCUAGACAAAUGAUCCCAUCACAAUGACCUAUAACAUGAAAUGAUUGAUCAUCUCCAAUCUCCAGACUCAUAGAAAGAGGAAUAUUGACGUCCUCGAUCCCAGAAAGAGUGCUACACUUGUGCACACCACCAUCGUCAUCAUCAACAAUGACAUUGUCAAAAGUAAGUACUGAGAAUACGGAUUGAAAUUUGUCCCCAUUUGGGUCCUCCGUAGAAGGGACUAACAUUCGCUUCAGAAGGACACGAGUGGACUGAUCGUCCAGCAAGGAAUGGGAGAGGUGCUUGUCGACGAACCUGGGGUCGUUGAUGAGAGCAUGCCACCAUUUAGCGACGCACUUGAAUCGCAUCAGAGAUUUCGGAGGCAGAGUUGACAGAAUAUUCACCAACAAAUCUUGUCCGAUUUUGGAUGUUUUGUUCGUCAUUUGUGCAAUGUCAAUUAUGGACCUCACCCUUGUUCUACGAUACACACAAAGACCAACACAACAAGAUCAGAAGAUUCCACAAUUACACAUUCUCUCUAAUUAAGCAUAUUCUCAAAAGCUCAUCAUCAUCUGGCAUUGCUAUUUCUUGUUAAAAAUAAAAAAAAAACUCAUUGAUACAUUCAAAAAUUUAGCCCUACUGAAAAUGCCAAUUGAAAUUCAAAAGCGAAAUAAGAAUCGAAGCAAAAAAAGUAUCCUUCUUUCAUUUAAAAAAAAAUAUAAAAACUGAAAUUGAAUAAUAAAAAGUUAGAAAUGAGGUUACCUUGUUGUAGACUAGGCAGUAGGAAGAGGAAGAGACCGAAGCAGAAGCAGCGCUGUGAGUGAGAGGGAAAGGGGCAGACUCGGCGCAGAAAAUGUAUUUUCUGCGUUUUGUUCGUGCAGCUGCGUGCGGUAAUGCGAUGGCAGAGAGGGGUUUUUAUUUUGAUUCUUGUGCGACCGUUUUUCAACACCCUCCCAAUUUUACGAACUUACCCUCCCAAAUUCGGCUGCAGUUUGCUGUUCUCUUAACUUUUUAACAGAUGUCUAUAAACUUAACUUUUAAUUUAACGGUGCUAUCUUUUCAAAAGACUAAUAUAACAAAUAAAAAGAAAUAAAAGAAAAACAAAAGGUGCCUAACUCUCCACCUACCCAAUUACGCUAUUUAAUUGGUGUUAUCACUGUUUAAUUUAACGAUGUUAUCUUUUAAGGGGAUGCUGUUGUUUUUUUUUAAUUUUUAAUUUUUUUUAAAUGUUAACACUGUUGAAUUGGUAUUAAGUUGAAGCAUGUGUCACUAAGUUAGAAAGAAGACAUGACGAAGACACUAGUUUAUGGACAUCAGACUCCUGGGCCUCAAUUUGUAAAUCAGAUUAAUAGUCUCCGUGGUGAUAGAGUAUUCGGAGGAAAGUCUAUGUAGUAAAAAGAUUGCCGAGCUCUUCCAGUGGCUCUACUCUAAGCCCAGCCGUGAUGCCUGCUCCCUCGUUUGCAAGCGCUAGCUCGCCUUCGAGUGCCUCAGCAGCACCGCCCUUUGCAUUGGCGCCACGGGUAGCCCGGACCUUGUCGUCGGCCUCCUCGCUGCAAAUUCCACAACGUCCGCACGAUUCACAUUGACGAGCACCUUAACCUUUCAUCGAUGAGGCUGCAUUCUGCCAAUGGCUUUGACGACGACGUGCUUGAUUUGAACACUACCCCAAACUUUUUUUGUUUUGAACAAAUGAUAUUAUCUACACCAGUGAUGAUUACAACCACCGGAGUUUAUCUUUUAUUGACCCUAAAAACUAUUUGGGCCUAAACACCUUCCCAUGUGUGCCUUUUAGCCACCAACAUAAUCCAUCAGCUAGCUUGAUUUGCCCUUCAUAGUAGUUGUUUUUGUUGUUUAGUUAAGGAUUUCUAGAAAUCAGAAACUUUUGUUUUUUUUUUGUUCCCUCAUUUCUGGCUUGUUAAUACAAGCUAUCGUUGCAUAUAAAAAUAAAAUAAAAAGGACGUAGCCUUAUGCCAACCAUAUUUUUUUUUAAAUUAUUAUUAUUUGUCACAUCCCAGCCCGAGCCCUCACCACAUCUCGGGCUCGACUCCACUGUAGCACAAUAUUAUUCGUUUUGGGCCCUGAUCACACCCUCAAGGUUUUGUUUUUGGGAACUCACACGAGAACUUCCCAGUGGGUCACCCAUCAUGGGAUUCCUUUUGCGCGAACUCGCUGAACUUUGGAGUUUCGAUGAAACCCGAAGCCAGUGAGCUCCCAAAAUGCCUCGUGCUAGGUAGAGAUGAGAAUAUACAUAUAAGGCUUGCAGGAUCCAUUCCUUGGGCGAUGUGGGAUGUUACAAUCCACCCCCCUUAGUGGCCCGACAUCCUUGUCGGUACACUUCCGGCCAGGGAUUGGUUCUGAUACCAAAUUGUCACAUCCCGGCCUGGGCCCCCACCACCACAUCCCGGGCUCAACUUCACGGUAGCACGAUACUGUCCGCUUUGGGCCUCGACCACGCCCUCACGAUUUUGUUUUUGGGAACGAGAACUUCCCAGUGGGUUACCCAUCCUAGGAUUGCUCUCGCGUGAACUCGCUUAACUUCGAAGUUCCGAUAGAACCCGAAGCCAAUGAGCUCCCAAAAUGCCUCGUGUUAGGUAGAGAUGAGAAUAUACAUAUAAGGCUUAGAGGAUCCAUUCCCCUGGGCGAUGUGGGAUGUUACAUUAUUAAAUGGAUGAUUUAAAACUUUUAUAAUAACUUAGAUGAGGAGGGAUGUUUGAACUUGACACGCAAGGUAGAAAUCAACUUCCAAUCCACUAGGAUAUUGGACUACAUGCAUUAUGCCCAACCAUAUACAUAUCAAGGAUUGGUAGCCUUACUCGAUAAUUUCCUGUAAAACGGUCUUUGAAUCUCAAAAAUUGCUAAAAUUUAUUUAUUUUAAUACAUUCGAUAUUUUCUAUACUAAAGGAUCGAAGAAUGGCCAAACCUCACAGUGGCUAGUAAUAUUGCUUUUGUUUGAAUUCGCCUUUAGUCACAUGUAUAAGGAAAUUUAAAUUUUGCUCAUUCACUAAUCACCCGAGAAUCAUAUUCAUAAAGUAAUUAUCCAAAAUUUAAAACAAAACACCAAUAAAUAAUCCAAAUACAUAGAAAAAGAGUAAUGCUAGGAAGGCUAAAUUUGUAGACAAAAUUUGCAAACCAAAUUAUGUGUCACCAAUAAGGAAUGAUUACGUUCAUCCAUGUUUAAUUAAUGAUCUAAUCAACAACUUCGAUGUCAUUUAAUUCAUAAAAUUGUCUUACUCCAUAGAAAAUUGUUCAAAAACUUGAACCAAAUAUUAAGAGGGCGUUUAGCCACUAGGGGGAACUCAGACACAUGUUGGCCCUUGUUUAAAAGUUCUAAUCUUCCAUCGGUGUAGAUGACUUUUGAAAAUCAAAAAACUACACAGUGGUAUCUUCGGGAUUAUCAACUUGAACAAAGUUAGUGUGUAUGACUUUACGACGUGAAUGAUACUUAGCAACAACAUCAACAAGUGCUUGACAAAUGCAUGACCAAUAAUCCUUGGAACCACAAUGAUAACAUAUGUCUAUUUCUAUGGUGGUUGUGCCUUACCUUUAUUCUUGAAGUUGAAAGUCUUGAGAUCUAGAGAAUCGCGCUUUGAAACCACAACUGUAACACAUGUCUAUUGGACCAGAAAAGUGUGGCAAGCGUUGUUCGUUAUGGGAAGCUGAGAUAUCCACCAACACAUGAAGCCACAGGGUAUUCUCUUGUUUACAAUCAGCUCUCCCCUUUUGAAGUCCAAAAUUAUACUUCCGGAAUCAUCCACCAUGUUCGUCUCACAAGUUUGAUUUCGUUUGCUUCUUAUUUUCUUCAAAGUUUCAAUGGAGAAUUACAAAGUUGGGUUUUGCUGAAAUGACUGAACUUUUAAAUCCCCCAAACAUAAGUUGUGAUGGAAUGUGGUUCUUCUGAUAAGUUGGUGAUCUAAUUGUUGUUUCGAUGUAGGGUUGAAACUGAAUACACUGUACUUUUAUCGAUGCGGGGAUCCUUCUAUACAUGCAAUGAGUCAAAUCCACCAUUUCAGGACUAUCCCAGUUUCUGGUCCUCGGAGCUACCCUGAGAGAAUAGCGGUUAUGGGAGACCUUGGCCUUACUUACAACACAACUACCACAAUAAGUCACUUGAAAAGUAACAAUCCUGAUCUUGUUCUAUUGAUUGGUGAUGUUACUUAUGCAAACCUCUACCUCACAAAUGGAACUGGCUCUGACUGCUAUUCUUGCUCAUUUCCAAACUCUCCAAUACAUGAGACCUAUCAGCCUCGAUGGGAUUACUGGGGAUGGUUAAAACAUAAAUUGCUUUAUUUCUAUCGCAUACAAUGGCUGCUGUAAAUUAUGGCAUAGAACUUGUUUUCUUAUGUUGUCAUUGCUGGGUAAUUUGUGUAGGUAUAUGCAGAGUUUAGUGUCCAAAGUUCCAAUAAUGGUUGUUGAAGGGAACCAUGAAAUAGAAGAACAGGCUGAAAAUAAGACUUUUGAGGCUUAUAGUUCUCGUUUGAGAAAACAAAUUUAAUGUGAAAUUAAUUGGUACUUGGUUCCCUCAUUGCUAAAACACAUAAUACAAAUCUUAUUUGAAACGCUAUCAGAAACAAUGACCUUAUCUUGAAACUCGUAUCACAACAGUACCAUUUGGUUCCGAUCCCAAGCAUGUUUUUAUUAAGUUGUCCUUGGUGUCUAUGAAUGACGAACAAUUUUCCUCAUUGUAAUUAAUUAUCUUUUUGCUUUAAAGUGCACUGAAUAUUCUUCAAUUUUCUUGAAUAAAACAAUAGGUUCAUGCCUACAAGAGAUCGAAUCGAGAUUAUGAUUACAACUUAGAUUCCUGUGGUCCUGUGUAUCUCACCGUUGGUGACGGGGGUAAUCGGGAGAAGAUGGCAGUUCAACAUGCUGACGAACCUGGUCAUUGCCCAGAGCCAUCAACUACUCCUGAUCAACACCUAGGUGCUGGUGCCUUUUGUGUAGAGAAAUUUACCUCCGGCCCAGCAGCAGGUAAAUUUUGUUGGGAUCGGCAACCGAAUUACAGUGCUUUCAGAGAAAGCAGCUUUGGCCAUGGGAUCCUUGAGGUACUCCUUUUUGUGUUUUUAUGUUUGGCAUAUAUCCAGUCUGACAAUGCAUUCAAUUGUCUAUAAACGUUAUAACUUAAUAUGUACGACCCUAAACUACAUAUGAUACAACUUGAAAAUGAUUGAUGGAAAGAUGAGCAUGUGCUUGACAGUCAAUGUUAUGGAACCAGUUUAAAUCAUUUUUACCACUCCACUGCAAUGUUGAUAGAGUUUGUGAUUUUAUAUGGUUUUGUGAUUUUAUGAAGUAUCAAAGCACGAAAUAAAAAAAAUAAAAAAUCAAUGAGAUUAUGAUCUCUGCUCAGAAAGCAGGAAGGAAUGAAGGUGCGAAGAAGGUGAAGAGAUUUCUCCCUUGGAUUCUAUUAAGCUAUAACUGAAUUGAUACAUCUAGAAGCAUAGAGUGGAGGGUGAGAUAUAGCGUUUGAGGGCACACUCACUCAUCAACCUCACACACUCACGUGUAUAGCACAUGCUCACCUAUAAGUGAGUUGCUAUGCCAUGUGACACAUAUCUAGCCUAUUACCUUUGAUUGAAUUUGAGCCCUACAUUACAAACUAAGAACAAACACCUUGAAUUACAAAGGAAAAUAAGAAACUUAAAUCAGAAAGCAGCUACAAGGCUUAAACAUCAACAUUCUCCUUUAAGCUGGCAGCUGAUUUGACUCCUAACAUCUCUCUAAAAUAGUUGAACUUCUCCUUUGGUAGGGCCUUAGUCAAGAUAUCUGCCAUUUGUUCUUCAGAUUUGCAGUAAACAAGCUAAAGUUCCUUCUCUUAUAUUGCAUCCCUGAUGAAGUGAAAUUUUCUGCUGAUGUGUCUUGUUUUCUGAUGAAACACAUGAUUCUUGACAAUAGCUAUUGCUGAAGUGUUAUCACACAUUAGCAUAGUAGGUUCAACCUGUUCUUCUCCAAAAUCUUAUAGAACAAACCUCAACCACUUGGCCUGAGAUGUUGCUUCUGCAACACUUACAUAUUUAGCUUCUGCAGUGGACAAUGCCACUGUGUUUUGUUUGAUUGAUGCCCAAGAGAACACACCUGAGCCAAGAUUGAAAGCAUACCCUGAUGUGCUUCUCAUGUCAUCAACACUCCCAGCCCAGUCACUGCCACAAUAUCCAAUAAGCAAUGCUGACUUUCGUUUUACAUAUUCAAUGCCAAAGUCCAUAGUACCUUGAAUGUAUUUUAGUACUCUUUUUGCUGUUCUCAUAUGCUUCUUGGUUGGACCAUGCAUGAAUCUUGCCAAGAGACUAGCACCAAACAUUAUGUCUGGUCUAGUGGCAGUGAGGUACAAAAAGCUUCCCACCAAUUUCCUAUACUCAGACUCAUCUGCAGUUUCACUUCCAUCAUUCUUGCAUAGCCUUUCAUUUGCUACAAGUGGUGUUCCCACGAAUUUACAACCCUUUAGUCCAAAUUUCUCCAACAACUUCAUUGCAUAUUUCUUCUGAUGUAUAAAGAUGCUCUUCUUGGUUUGUACAACUCUCAUACCAAGAAAAUGGUGCAGCAAUCCCUAAUCUGUCAUCUCAUAGUGCUGCAUCAUGUCAUUUUUAAAUUUGUCCAGCAAUGUGUCACUACUACCAGUGUACACAAUAUCAUCAACAUACACAGAAACAAUGAGAAUCCCUGAGUUUUCAACCUUAGUGUAUAGAGUGGCUUCACUAGGACUUCUUUUAAAACCAGCCUUGGUGAAGUAGGAAUCAAUUUCAUCAUACCAAGCUCUUGGAACUUGAUUAAGGCCAUAUAAUGCCUUGUUUAACUUGUACACUUUAUCCUCCUUGCCUUCUAUGACAAAACCUUGAGGUUGAUCAACAUAGACUUCCUCCUUGAGUACACCAUUGAGGAAUGCAGACUUUACAUCCAACUAAAAGAGUUGCCAUUCUUUCUGAGCUGCAAGAGCUAUCAAAGUCCUUAUGGUGUCAAGCCUAGCAACUGGUGCAAAAGUCUCAUUGAAGUCAAUUAUUGACUUCUGUGAAUAACCUUUUGCAACCAAUCUAGCUUUGUUUUUCUGAAUGCUUCCAUCAAGAUUCAGUUUUGUUUUGUAUACCCACUUCACACCUAUCAUAGGUUUGCUAGAUGGUCUGUCUACCAGCAUCCAUGUACUAUUCUUUUCAAUCAUGUCUAGCUCAGCUUGCGUAGCUUUCAUCCAAGAUAAAUCUAGAGCAGCCUCUUCAUAGCUUUCAAGUUCCAUAAUGCAAACAUUACACUAUGCAAGAACUUCAUUCAAGGGUCUCCAUUUCUUUGGAGUAAAAUCAUAGCUCUGUGAUAGAUCAAUCUGUGAGCUUGAACCAUCAGCAUUGGAACUCAAACUUUCCUGUGAAAUAUCAGAAGUGAUCUCAGGGAGUAUAAUUUCAUUUGAACUUCUAAUCCUUGAGUUGGUUCAGAUUCUACUAUAUUAGUAGUAAUUGAUGUAUCAAAAUAUUUUUCAGAGCUUACAUUCCAAUCCCAUCUGGGACUCUCAUCAAAUACUACAUCUCUAGACAAUAUAAUUUUAUUAGUGAUAAGAUCAAAUACCCUGUAUCCUUCCUCACUGGUUCCAUACCCCACAAAGACAUAUUUGUGACUGUUGCAUUCAAGCUUGUGUCUAAGAUUCAUGGGAACAUGAACAUAGCACACUGAACCAAAGAUCUUCAAAUGUGCAAUUCCAGGUUUUAUUCCACUAUAGGCUUCAAAAGGAGUCAUUUUAUCCAAAGACCUUGUAGGACACCUGUUGAGGAGAUAUACUGCAAUGUGCACAGCUUCUGUCUAAAACUGGUAUGGCAUGCCUUUUUCAUGUAGCAUAGUUUUUUCCAUUUCCACCACAGUUUUAUUUUUUCUUUCAGACACACCAUUCUGCUGUGGUGUGUAUGACAUGGUUAGUUGCCUUUGAAUACCAGAGACAUUGCAAUAGUCACUGAAUUCAGAAGACAUGAACCACCUCUAUCAUUUUUUAGGUACUUGAUCUUGUGUCCACCCUGCAAUUCUGUCAUUGCAUUGAACCUUUUGAAAUACUCAAAUGGCUAGGAUUUUUAUCUCAGAAAAUAAACCCAUGUCAUUCUAGUACAAUCAUCAAUGAGCAGAAUAAAGUACUUGUUUCCAGCAUUUGAAGCAAUUUGCAUUGGACCACAGAUAUGUAUGUACCAAUUCAAGUGGGAAUUUAGCUCUCCAAGCAAAUUCUCUUGGAAAUUCAUCUCUACGUUGCUUGCCAAGCAUACAUCCUUCACAAACAUUCUUGGAAUCUUCCAAGUGAGGCAGCCCAUGAACCAUUUCUUACUCCCUAAGUUGCAGCAAACUUCUUGUGUUUAAAUGACCAAGCCUCUUGUGCCAAGUCUGAGUACAAUGAGAUACACUAGCUUUCAGUGCUAGUGGUGUAGCAGGCAUCAUGGUUAAGGGAAAACACAUGUUGCCAGUCAUUUGAACCUUAGCAACCAGUCCAUUCAAGUUCUAGCUAUCAUAAAUACAAACUACAUUACCACCAAAUAGUAGAUAGUAACCAUGUUUCAACAUUUGCCCCACACUUAGGAGAUUUUCCUCCAAGCCAGGCACCAUCAUCACUUCUUGUAUGUGUUUUCUUCCCAUCUUAGUUUCAAUGACAAGUGUACCUAUUCCUGCUACACUCACAACUUCACCAGUUCCCAUUUUUACUCUUGCAUUCAGGUUUCUACUCAUAUUCAUCAGCAAGCUUUCAUUCCCUAUCAUGUGGUUGCUGCAACCACUAUCAAUGUACCAAGUAUUAUUGACUUUCACCUGAGUCACAAAAUUGCAAGCAAAGAAUAAGGUUCCCAUAUCAUCAACCUGAUUUGCAUAGUUGGCCUUCUGCACCAUUUUGUUCCCAUUGCAGUUUCUGGUUUCAUGAUCAAAUUUAUUGCAAUUUGUGCAUUUAGGUUUUCCUUCAAACCAGCACUUUCCAUAGUGCAGUUUAUCACAAUGUUUGCAAGCUGUUUUGUUCGAAUCAUGAGAAUUAUUCUGCUUAGAGACAAGGUUGGGCUUGUUAUCCCACUUUUUCCUUUUGUUCUUCCAAUUUUUUCCUGAUUUUUGAGUACCGGAGAACCCACUGGGUUUUUGAAACUUAGACCCAACAUUUAGACUAACAAAUGCCUUUUCAUUAGAGUUUUUAGCAUGCAUAUCUAGCCUUUGUUCAUAACCCUUCAGAGAGGCAACAACUUCUUGGAUUUCAAGGGUUUCAAUAUCCUUUGAUUGUUCAAUCACAGCACAGAUAGAGUCAUAACUUCUAGGCAAGCUUAUAAGUAAUUUUUGAACAACCCUGUCCCUAGAUAGUUCUUCACCAUAACCCCUUAUUUGAUUCAUGAGGUCAAACAAUUUAGUAAGGUAUGUAGAUAAGGAUUCAUCAUCUAUCAUCCUAGUGUACUCAAAUUCUCUGCUUAAACCUUGUAAUUUCACAUUUCUAACCUGUUUGUCAUCUCUGAGUUCUUGCUGUAGAAUAUCCCAAGCUCCCUUGGAGGUUUCUUCGUUAGAGAUCCUGGGGAAAAUCUGAUCAAUGACAGCUCCUUGGAUCAACCCAAGAGCCUUAGCAUCCUUCAUUAUGAUCUCCACAACGUUUGGAGUUUCAGUAGCUGCAUCAUUCUCCUUCUUUUCAUCAGCUACCAUAACCACAAUAGAUGAUUAUGGGAUAGUAAACCCAGUCUCUACGAGCUCCCACAGUCCAUGAGACUAGAGGAUGGUUCGCAUUCUGAUAUUCUAGAAUUCAUAGUUCUCACCAUUGAAAAUGGGAGUGCGAAGCUCAGAACUCGUUGUUCUAGCCAUAUUAGACUCAGAUCUUCGAUUUUCACAGAUUUUCAAAGCGCGAUUCUUCAGCAAUGAAGCUUAGGGAAAACAAUUCAUUGAAGAACACAGAAAUCACAUAUUCAUGCCCAGAUUAAAGCGAUGAACCUGGCUCUGAGGCCAUGAUAGAGUUUGUGAUUUUAUAUGGGUUUGUGAUUUUAUGAAGUAUCAAAGCAUGAAAUCAAAAAGAAAUCAAUGAGAUUAUGAUAUCUGCUCAGAAAGCAUGAAGGAAUGAAGGUACGAAGAAGGUGAAGAGAUUUCUCCCUUGGAUUUUAUUCAGCUAUAACUGAAUUGAUACAUCUAGAAGCAUAGAGUGGAGGGUGAGAUAUAGUCGUUGAGGGCGCACUCACUCAUCCACCUCACACACUCACGUGUAUAGCACAUGCUCACCUGUAAGUGAGAUGGUAUGCCAUGUGACACACAUCUAGCCUAUUAGCUUUGAUUUAAUCUGAGCCCUACAUUACAAACUAAGAACAAACACCUUGAAUUACAAAGGAAAAUAAGAAACUUAAAUCAGAAAGUAGCUGCAAACAUCAACAAAUGUCACGAGAAAAUCACUUCGCACCAAUAUCUGUUUAUAUGGGGUGCGAAAAUCCUGUGACUAACUUGAAUACCCUUGAUCGGUUAUUGAGUAGCAAACAUAUAGAUGUAGGCUAGUAGGCUAGAAGUCUGCUGAGAAUGUAUAUACUAGAAUUAUAGCUCAGUUUCACCACCUGGAUUAUACAUUAACCGUGCAUUUUGAUGUGCAUAACUUGCAGGUGAAGAAUAAGAUUUGGGCUUUGUGGACAUGGUACCGGAACCAGGACUCCGACAAUAAAAUUAGAGAUCGAAUUUAUAUAGUGAGGCAGCCUGAUAAAUGCUGCAUCCGCCAUGCGUUCUAAAGUUGGCUUGCUGGCCUCUAAUUCUCACUGCUGCUUGCUGGGAAAAUUAUUAUUAAGAUACCAACUCAAGUGACCAUUCUUAUCUAGAUAGGAAUAGGACGGAAGGUGCAGAAAGAGUAGGAAGAUGGGGUUUCACCUAUGUAUACACACUACAUAUAUGGGGAGAGGGAGAGAGAAAGAGAGCAGAAGACGAAAAGCAACUCCGUUAUUGUGGUAUGUAGCUGAUAAAAUCUCAUUUAUACAUCUCCAUUGUAACUUGAAUAUAUACUCUCAACCAAUUUAUACAACAAAAAAUGUGUAAGAUUGGUUCCUGGAGCAAUUUCAGAUAUCGAAUUCUGAACUAUUUGCGUAUUUUGUUGAGUUACUGCAAAUUGGUUCAACUGAUGAACCAAAAAUUUCCCCUCCCCCUAUUAUGAAGCCAAAAAAUUGUUGGAAGUGACUUUUAUAUUGUCACUUAGUGUUACAAGUUCACUAAUGUUAUGGUGGCACCGCUUAUAAGGGUGGUGUUUCGACAAAACCCUUAGCUCCCGAGCUCACAAUGCACCCCGCCUAUAAGUCAUUCGGAGUUUGGAAGGAGCAAUGAGGUUUGCUAUAACCUCCGUACAAAAAACCUUCAACAACUUCCCAUACAUUGUAUUCUCCAUUAAAUUCCAGGCCAGGGGUUCCACCUCCAUCUCAUAUAAUUUCUUACCGUCUCUUGUCCAAAACAUUUGUAAUAUUGUGCCAAUUAUGUUAUAUAUUUGCAGGAUGCAUAGCAAUUUGGUGUUAGUAAAACAUUGUCUGCCGCAUAUUUGAUCAUGUUUUAACUUAGGAAUUUCAUGGUCUAGUUAAUUUUGACGAAUUUGAAAGGCUUUUAAAACAAAUUAGAAUCAAACUUUCAAAAUUACUACCCCAAACAAAUUGCACUGCAAAUUACCAUAAUCAGAAUUCAUCAGCUCAUGUACAUACUACAUAACAUUUACUUAGGAUAUGAAAUGGUGAGAUCGAUAAAUUCGAAAUCAUCAUUAUAUUGUUGUUCUUAUUACAUUAAUAUAGAUACAUGUAGCCACUAUAUAUAUACCUAUUAGAGUGAAUAACAUACCAAUGCCAUGCCCCACAAUUUGUUGUCCUGACACAAUCGACCGGAUUCGCCGCGUUGUAGUCAAAACAGAUGACGACUUCCAGCAGAUACACGAUCCCCCCGUCAUACUUGCAACGAAGAAGAGGUAUUUUGUUUUGUAUAGUCCUUUGAAUGGUUGAUUCAAGGUCGAUGUAACGAUAUUGAUAUCCUGGUACAAUCCCAGUUGUUUGAGAAAAUAGAUAUUGUGCAUUGUAGGUAAACUAUAUAAGCUUCAUGGAAGUAUUGUGUCUGGGAAAAUUUAUUGUCCGAGCACCUGCCGUGCUUGUUGUAUUGAUCCUCCCAGAAAUCCAUAUUUGUCUGUCUAAUGUUUAAGGUUGGCCAGGAAUUGGACAAAAGUAAUUGCAGAUAAUGAUCAGCAUUCAUCUGAAGCACAAAGAUGAGAAGUUACAAGCAUUUCAGAGAGCUGCAGGAGAAAAAACAAGGGAACUGAAAUGAGUGUGUGUAUAUAUAUAUAUUCGAUGUGUACCUCAUUUCUGUUGAAUACGGUACCAGCGCAGUGUAUUGUACAUCAGACUCCUGGCCCUCAAUUUGUAAAUCAGAUUAAUAGUUUCCAUGGUGAUAGAGUAUUCGGAGGAAAGUCUAAGUAGUAAAAAGAUCGCCGAGGUCUUCCGGCGGCUCGCCUCCAAGCCCAGCCUUGAUGCCAGCUCCCUCUUCUGCAAGCGCUAACUCGCCCUUGAGCGCCUCAGCAGCAUCGCCCUUUGCAUCGGUGCCACCGGCAGCCCGGACCUCGUCGUCGGCCUCCUUGCUUCCAAUUCCGCAAUGUCUGUGCCGUUCACAUUGACGAGCACCUUAACCUUUCGUCGGUGAGGCUGCAUUCUGUUUGAGAAAAUGAAUUUCAUUGAUUAAGAGAAUAAAAUUACAAUGUUGUGGUGUGUGUGUGUGUGUGUGUAUAUGUGUGUGUGUAUAUAUAUAUAUAUAUAUGUAUGGAUACCCUCUACACUCUCACAUAACUCUAACCUUCUAAACACCUAGCCACCUAUACAACAAUCUCAACUAAUCACUAGUCUAAUACAACAAACUAACUAGCUCUAAGUUUUAUCACCAAUUGAAUCUUUAACAAUAUUAUCCUUAACAUCCCCUCCUCAAACUGAACUGAGGAGUUCGAAGGGACAAUUUGGAUCUUAAGAGCUUAAACCAGUCUUUGGAAAGAGAUUUUGUGCAGAUAUAUGCAAUUAAGUUCCCCGACGCGACUUCGAAUGAUUUUGUAACUUUUUCGAUUUGGGUAAGCCUCAAAACACUCCAAAUGUUUCUCUUUUCGUCCCUAUAGUUCUUUUAUGACCACGUUGUUGUGUUUUGGACAUCAAAAUAUGAAGAAACACCUCGGAGGACUAUAUUCCAUGUUUUCUGGCGAGGUGCUGGAACUUGCAGACGUUUUCUGAUCAUAUUUCAGCCACGAGGAAGGUAUAUUUCGACUCCUUGCUUCACGGGCUUCAUUUUGGUAUUUUAGUUCACUUGUUUUGACUAAGUUUCGAGCUCCAUCAAAGCUCGGGCAUUCUCUAGCCAAUUUUUGGCCUUCUUAUUCCUUUGGUCCGAUGACCCACAACCUUAGACCCAAAACCCUUUUUACCCAGCCCAUUUGGGUAGCCCAAUCCCUUAUCCUUUAAACCAAAUGACCCAAUUAAAUAAUCGGGCUUUCAAGCCCAAAACCCUAGUCUAACUAGGCCCUUAGGCCGUGCACCUAGGCCCAGGCCCAUCGCCAAUCCAGCCCAUUAAACCCAAACCCUUGACCAUUUGAAACCAGGCUUUUGGGCCUAGGUCCCUUCAGCCUAAACCCACCAGCCCAACUCGGAUGGAAUAUUCUUUGGAAUAUUCCGUCAGAGAAUAUUCUGUCAAGGAAUAUUCUUUGGAAUAUUCUUAGUGUUGACUUUUUAUUGACUUUUUCGAAAUUUACCCGGAACCCUUUUUAGGGUAAUUCGACGUCCUGAAUCCAUUUUAGACAUCCGUUUUCCCAAAUUCAAUCAUUUGAAUAAAGUUUUAUUAAUUGGACCAUUUAUGUGCUUAUGUGCAAUUAUUUACAGCGAUUCCGUCAUUUUUAUUUCAUAUGGCUCUACAACGACGGAGUAUCUGUGAGUGGACUCCUUCUAAAAUGCAUGUUUUAAUACUAGAAAUGCAUACAUAAAAAGCCUAAUUUAAUUAUUACUUUUUAUGAAACGUUUUUAUGAGAUAUUAUGCUUACUGAGAAUAUUUUGAAUUACCAUAUUUUAUCGAACUCAUGUUCUAUGUGGUAUAGAUGAUGGAUGACUUUAUACUGCUUAUGAGCAUGCUUUUGCACACUUCUUUAUAGUAUAGGUGAUGGAUGACUUUAUACUAUGAAGAUGUUUUUAAGAUAUAUAUAUACCUAUGUUUGGAAAGUCUAUGUUCAAUGGUUUUGUGCUUAUCUAGUGGUCACUAUACCGCCACGGGCGAGGAUUAUGGUUGUUGGCUGUGGGCCGGGAGAAAUAAUCUCUGGCUUCGGGCCGAGAGACAUGGAGUUGGCAUUGGGCCAGGAGAAAUAAUCUUUGGCUACGGGCACAGAGACAUAAAAGCUGGCAUUGGGUCGGGAUAUUAUUAUUGGAUACCAUUAUGUAUCACACUAUUUACGAGAUAUGUUUUAUGAAGGUUUUAUGGCAUGCUAGGGUUUUCGGAAAACCUAUUACAUAUUAUACUAUUGAAUUUCCAUAAAACUUUGGUGGUUAGUAUGUUGAUAACUGUUUUAGUCUAUAUAUAUAUAUAUAUAUAUAUAUAUAUAUAUCAACUUGGUCCACUCAUGUUUGUUUUGCGCCCCCUCAGGACUUAGAAUUGAGGUGUACAAUCCCGACGUCAAGGCACUUCCGAUUCGGCAGCUUUGAGGCCUCUCGGUGUAGAACCCAUUCCUUUGCUCCUUCAAUGUUAUAUUUUUUCUUUAGUGUUCUAGAUUAGUUGUAUGCUCUGAACACGUUCCUCAUUUGCAUAUUAAUUAUAAUUAAAUUUAUAAGUCUUAUAUAUUUCGGGUUCUCAUGCAUUCUAAUAUGGCUUCGUCACCUUAGGGUGUUGGCCAACACGUUCCUACCCUGGUGUUCGGGGAAUAUCAGGGUUGGGCGUGUCAACAUGGAAGAUGGAAACUAAUAUCAGCAAGUAACUGACAUAUCCAUGUAAUUUCAGCUGCAGUAUUAGCUAGAGAUCGAUACUCUGCCUCUAUUGAAGAACGAGCCACUAUUGGUUACUCCUUAGCACUCCAAUUGAUGAUAGAUGAACCCAGAAAAAUACAAUAACUGCCAGUUGAUCUUCGAUCAAGUGUGCAACCUGCCUAGUCAGCAUCUAAGAAGGCUUUGAGAGAUGGAACAGAGACAGAUUAUGUAAACCAAAGACCAAUGUCAAUGGAACCCUUAAGAUAUCGAAUGAUCAUUUUGACAGCUUAAAAAUGAGACUGCCUUGGAUUGUGCAUGAAUUGACAAACAAGAUUGACUACAAAUCAUAAAUCUGACCGAGUCCAAGUAAGAUAUUGUAAUACACCAACCAAAGAUCGAUAUUCUGUAGGAUUAUCAAGCAAUGGAGAAGAAUGAUCCAACUUAGAUGUAUUGAGUGGGGUAACACAUGGUUUUGCUCUAGCCAUGUUAGUCUUCUUUAACAGAUCCAAGAUAUACUUGGUUUGUGAAAUAAAGAUGCCUUUGGAGGAUCGCUUGACUUCAAUUCCCAGAAAAUAAUGAAGUGCACCAAGGUCUUUGAUGAGAAAGAGAGAGCUAAGUUGAGAAAUUACAUGUUUCCAAGCUGCUACAGAUGGCCCUGUGACAAUAAUGUCAUCAACAUAUAUCAGAACAAAGACCAUAAGAUCCCUUUUGACAAACAAUGAAUGAUCUGAUUUAGAACUAGUGAAGCCAAGAGUAUGCAAUGCGCCAUGGAAUUUUUCAUACCAGGCUCUGGGAGCCUGUUUAAAACCAUAUAGGGAUUUAUGCAGUUGACAAACAUGAGUAUGGUGAAUAACAUCUUCAAAACCAGGCGGAUGUUGCAUAUAAACAGAUUUAGACAAUGUCCCAUGCAGAAAAGCAUUGCUUUCAUCUAGUUGACUGAGACUCCAAUCAAAUUGGGCAGCAAGAGUGAGUAUGAGUCGAAUUGUCACAGGCUUGGCUACUGGACUAAAAGUCUCAGUAUAAUUAAGUCCUUCUUGCUGAUGAAAACCUUUGGCAACUAAGAAAACUUUGUACUUAUCUAUGGUACCAUCAGGUUUUCUUUUAAUCCUGAAAACCCAUUUACAUCCUACAAUGUUUUGAUGAGCAGUUUUGGGUACUAAAGACCAAGUACCAGUUUGUUGGGAGGCAAGAAACUCAUCCUGCAUUGCCUUAACCCAAUGUGGAUAUUUAGAAGCUUGGAGAUGUGUAGUGGGGACAAAUUCAUAUGAAAAUUAAGAAAGGAGAGGAUGUUUGCUUGCAGAAAAGGCUUUUGGUUUGUAAAUACCAGAUUUGGACCUGGUUUGCAUAAGGUGAGUAUUAGUAGGAACUGAGUGAGAUGUAGGUAUAAGAGAUAUAGGUAUAGGGGCUAUUGGAGAAGAGCUACUUGGAAAUAUAUGAGAUGGAGAUGAUGGUAUAGGGGAAUGAAUAUGUGGUUGAGUGAAUGUGAGGUGAAUGGGAAUGGUAUUGAGAGGUGAAGAUGCUGCUGAGGGAAAAGAGCACUGUGAAACUGCAAUAGUGUUAAAGGGAAAACUGCCUUCAUCAAAGAUCACAUUUCUGAGAUGUAUAACUUGUUGGUAGUAAGAUCCAAACAUUUGUAACCUUUUUGGUUAAGGCUGUAAUGAAGGAAUACACAUAACUUUCUUUUGGGAUCCAAUUUAGACUCAGAGUAAGGUUGCAGCCAUGGAAAACAACUACACCCAAAAACCUUCAAGGUGGCAUAGUUAGGUGAUCUGUGGAAAAGACGUUCCCAUGAAGACAAUCUGGAUAAAGUAGGUAAUCUAUUUAUGAGAAACACAACUAUGGAAAAAACAUGAUCCCAAUAGGUGUAAGGGACCUUAGAAACUGUUAAAAAUGUUCUGGCAGUCUCAACUAUGUGUCUGUGCUUGCAAUCAGCACAACCAUUCUGUUGAGGAGUGUAUGGACAACUUAGUUGAUGACUAAUACCAUUUUCAACAAGGAAAUUAGAGAAUUGAGUGCUAAGAUAUUCCCCACCAGAUCUGAUCUGAGAGCAACAAUUUUAGUAUGCAACAAGUUCUCAACAAGACUUUUGAACUUAACAAAAGUAGGAAACACAUUAGAUUUAUAUUGCAAAGGAUAAAGCCAACAAUAUUUUGUAAAAUCAUCUACAAAGAUGACAUAGUAUCUGAAAUUGUUCACAUAAGUGACGGAUGUUGGCCCCCAAACAUCUAUGUGAAGUAGCUCCAAAGGUUUACUGGUAUGACAAGGUACAUAAGCAAAUGGCAAUCUGGAACUUUUGCUUAAGGCACAACCAUUAUAGAAAGACUUAUUAGAACCAUUAGAAAACCAAAUACAAUACUUAGUAGCCAACUUAUUGAGAAUCUUCAUCGAAGGAUGGCCAAGUCUUUGGUGCCAAAUAUUUCUAGAUGUGUUAACAGAAGCAGCAAACACAUUGUGAUUGUGGAUCACAUAACUGGAAGCCUAUAGUUGAAAUAGAUAGAAGCCAUCUCUCACAUGACCUUUAAAGAGCAUCUUUCCAGAAGAAAUAUCCUUCACAGCGAAGUGAUAAGGAUAAAGAUGCAUAGAACACCAAUUAUCAACAAGAAACUGAUUUGCAGAAAGCAUAUUUUGUUUCAAAUCAGGAACAUGCAACACAUUUCGAAGUUGAAAAUUAUGAUGAGGAGUAUGUAAUGCAGAAGAACCAGAGUAGAGAAUGGGCAAACCUUUGAAGAGUGUUGUAAGAAUUGGUCAUGUGAGUACUAGCACUGGAGUCAACAAUCCAAGUAAGUUGAGGAGAAAGUGUGCUUGCAGCCAUAGCAGAAUGAGAAGCAUUGCUGGAAUAAUGUGGAUUCAUGCGCUAGGGACACUCGAUUGCAUCAUGCUCAAACUAGCGAAAAAUUUGGCAUGGAAUCCUCAUUCCAGAGAAAUUGAAGGAUGAUCAACUACCACGGUUGUAACACUGAGAGUUGUUGCGAGAAAAAUUUAGAUGAUAGUUGUUAGAACGGAAGUUGCUUCAUCCUUGGAAGUUUCUAGGGUUGGAGAAACCACGAUCGCCACCAUGACCUUGAGAGAAAUUACGAUCACCACCACGACCUGGAAGAUUAUGUUGAGCAACAAAGGCCUGAGAAUGUGGAGUAUGAAGGAUGCCGGUGGUGGAGUUGUACGCCUGAAUUGGCACUAUCGAAGUAGUUUUCUUCCAAUUUGUUAACUGAAUCUCUAUACUAAGAAGAAGACUAUGCCGCUCAUCAAGUGUGGUGGAACCAAGCUGGAAUUGUAUCGCAUCAACAAAAGAUUCGUACUCUGAUGGUAAAUCGUGAAAUGUGAUAGAGAUUAAUUCAGAAUCCUUAACUGGAGCACCGACAUUGGCAAGAGCAUCAUCGAUCUCUUGAAUUUGUUGAAGAUAUUGAGCAGUUGUGGAAUCGCCCUUUGAAAUGCUGUGUAAACAUGAUCGGAGCUCAUGGAUGUGCCAUUGAGACGCCAUCGCAAGGCGUGACUCCAAUUUUACCCAAAGUUAUCUGGAUGUAGUAACUCUAACAAUGUAAGGAAUGAUCGAUUUAGAAAGCAUGGAAUCGAUCCAGAUGAGGAUGUUCUUAUCAUUCUCGAACCAAGAAACAUAUGCCGGAUUCAGAAUUUGAUUUCCAACAGCAUUAGAGAUGAAUUGAGCUGGAGGAGGCAUCGAUCCAUCAAGAAUUCUAGUGAGAUUAUAGCGACGGAAGAUCGAAGAAAAUAAUGCACUCCAAGUGAGAUAAUUGGUCAGAGUCAGCUUGAUCGGCACCAUGGAUUCGAUAUUCUGGAUCAUGAUUAAAGGUGUGGAGAGAGUAGAACUAGAAUUUGAGAGAAGAUCAGGAUGAAUUUGUGUUGCCGAUUUAGAAGAAGGAGAAGCUGAGGUCGCCAUGGGAGAUAGUUAGGGUUUGGCAGUGAAAGCUUAGGAAGGAAGAAAGCUUAGCGAAGAAGCUGGAGAGGGGAAAGCGUGGAUUGGAUCAAGUCGGUAGACAGAAGGCGGGUGAUACCAUGUUAGAGAAAAUGAAUUUCAUUGAUUAAGAGAAAAAAAAUUACAAUGUUGUGGUGUGUGUGUGUGUGUGUGUGUAUAUACACCCUCACAUAACUCUAACCUUCUAACCACCUUGCCACCUAUACAACAAUCUCAACUAAUUACUAGUCUAAUACAACAACCACAACAAACUAACUAGCUCUAAGUUUUAUCACCAAUUCAAUCUUUAACAAUACCAUCCUUAACACAUUAUGCCAAUGGCUCCGCCGAAAACGUGCUUGAUUUGAACAGCGUAUCAGAUGUCAGUAUGACUGCUAUCAGCAACAGAUUCCCCAAGCUCGAAAAUCUGAGCUUAAUCUGGUGCUCCAAUGCCUCUAGUAUCGGUCUAAUUUUGCUGAUAAGUGUAAACUGUUGAAAUCGUUGGAUUUGAUAGAGUUGAAUUUUAAUGCUUGAAGUCUGCAAUUCUUCGUUUGAAUACUUAACUGGACUAUCAGUGAUCCACAACUCCCUGGUUGGUAGCUACUUGGCAUCCUUCCUGGUAUAGUACCUACGAAGCCCUUUACAGAGAGGCAGAAUGUAUGAGGUAGCAAACAUAUAGAUGUAGGCUAGUAGGCUAGAAGUCUGCUGAGAAUGUAUAUACUUGAAUUACAGCUCAGUUUCACCACCUGGAUUAUACACUAAGCGUGCAUUUUGAUGUGCAUAACUUGCAGGUGAAGAAUGAGACUUGGGCUUUGUAGACAUGGUACCGGAACCAGGACUCCGACAAUAAAAUUGGAGAUCAAAUUUAUAUAGUGAGGCAACCUGAUAAAUGCCGCAUCCGCCAUUUGUUCGAAAGUUGGCUUGCUGACCUCUAAUUCUCACUGCUGCUUGCUGGGAAAAAUUUAUUAUUAAGAUCCCAAAUCAAUUGACCAUUCUUAUCUAGAUAGGAAUAGGAUGGAAGGUUGCAGAAAGAGUAGGAAGAUGGGGUUUCACCUAUGUAUACACACUAUAUAUAUAAGAGGAGGGGGGUUGGGGGGGUGGGGGGUGGGGGAGGGGGCGGGGAGAGAGAGAGAGAGAGCAGAAGAAGAGCAACUCCGCUGUUGUUGUAUGUAAAUGAUAAAAUCUCAUUUAUACGUCUCCUUUGUAACUUGAAUAUAUACUCUCUCAACCAAUUUAUACAACAACAAACGUGUAAGAUUGGUUCCUGGAGCAAUUUCGGAUAUCGAAUUCUAUUAUAUAUUUGCAGGGGUUCCACCUCCAUCUCAUAGAGAUUAUCAUCACCUGUUGUUUCUGUGAAUAAUGUAAUUUCUUACCGUCCCUUGUCCAAAACAUUUGUAAUAUUGUGCCAAUUAUAUUAUAUAUUUGCAGGAUGCAUAGCAAUUUGGUGUCAGUAAAACUUUGUCUGCCGCAUAUUUGAUCAUGUUUUAACUUCGGAAUUUCAUGGUCUAGUUAAUUUUGACGGAUUUUGAAAGGCUUUUAAAACAAAUUAGAAUCAAACUUUCGAAUUUACUACCCCAAACAAAUUGCACUGCAAAUUACCAUAAUCAGAAUUCAUCAGGUCAUGUACGUACUACAUAACAUUUACUUAGGAUAUGAAAUGGUGAGAUCGAUAAAUUCGAAAUCAUCAUUAUAUUGUUGUUCUUAUUACAUUAAUAUAUAUAUAUAUGUAGCCACUAUAUAUACCUAUUAGAGUGAAUACGAUACCAAUGCCCCACAAUUUGUUGUCCUGACACAAUCGACCGGAUUCGCUGCGUUGUAGUCAAAACAGAUGACGACUUCCAGCAGAUACGCGAUCCGCCGGUCAUACUUGCACAUAAGAAGAGGUGUUUUCCCUCCUAUAGUCCGUUGAACGGCCGAUUCAAGGUCGAUGUAAUGAUAUUGAUAUCCUGGUACAAUCCCAGUUGUUUGAGAAAAUAGAUAUUGUGCAUUGUAGGUCAACCAUAAUCUAUAAGCUUCGUGGAAGUAUUGUGUCUGGGAAAAUUUAUUGUCCGAGCACCUGCCGUGCUUGUUGUACUCAUGCGCCCAGAAAUCCAUAUUUGUCCGUCUAAU
This 49760-nucleotide long non-coding RNA is filed under the name Malus domestica (apple). RNAcentral describes it as "long non-coding RNA (MDOM_LNC009456)". The record is from RNAcentral. Lineage: Eukaryota; Viridiplantae; Streptophyta; Magnoliopsida; Rosales; Rosaceae.